This 58190-nucleotide long non-coding RNA is filed under the name Lactuca sativa (garden lettuce). RNAcentral's name for it is "long non-coding RNA (LSAT_LNC002943)". Lineage: Eukaryota; Viridiplantae; Streptophyta; Magnoliopsida; Asterales; Asteraceae. The record is from RNAcentral.
UGUUGACAUAUCUGUGCCCAUUCCAGUUAAAGUUGGCUUUGCAUAUGAGUUCUUAGAGUUCUCAGUUUGUUGCAUAACAACUUGGAAGCAAUGGCAGGCCCUUGAGCUGCCAGGUGGCAAGAAGUUAAGAUUGAGUUCAAUCCAUAUGGUUUUGGAUUUGUCAUUAUCUUUGUCUUGUGAUUAUGGUUUGACAAAUUCAUAUGGGUAGGAACUCAUACACCAUAUAAAUCUAAGUGUCAUAAGGUUUCUCUCCGAUUCAUGAAAAUGAUGGUGAGGAAACGCUUUCACUAAGUAGAUUUUACGAAGAUAUCAAUUGUGUUAUUUGCAUUUUCAAAAGUCGUUAGUGGAGCGCGUGUGGUUAACCGGCACACUAACAUGGACUUGUGAGAAAUGGCAAAUGCCUAAGCAAUUGAGACCAUGAUUACGGUAUCCCUUUUCAUGGUUCUUGAAAUUGCUUAGACACACAGGUGAGCUAUCUACGGAAAGGGUGUAUGAAUCUAAAUUUCAGACUGUCCAGCUGAUUUCUGAGUACAUGUCAAAGCUAGUGGGAGCAUAAGUGUUAUGCUAAUAAUCAUCAUGUUAGUGGGAGCAUGAUAAUUAUGAUAAGUAUUGCAAGUUAGCAAUGUUAAUUAUAGAAAACAAAAGUUUCAAUUGGGAAAAAGUUGUUUUGCUAUAAUUAAGGGAGAGGAAAUUAUGCUUCAUCUCAAAUCUAUAAGCUUAGAUCGUGAGGUUUUAAUCAUUUAGUCAAGGAUAUAUAUGAAUUUCAUGUUGGAAUGGCUCAACAUAAGGAAAUUCUGUAUAUGGGUCCAUUAUUUGCGUUCUAAAAUUCGAUUAUGAUUACGGCAUCCCUUUUCAUAAUCUGAAUUAUGAGAACUUGGCAAAUUGAAAUGGAAAUAUUAUAGCAAAAGACUGGUUUAGUCUUUAUGUAAGACAUCAUGAAUCGUGUCCCAUAUGCUUCGGAUAUAGGAUCGAUUACAUGUGCUAUAUUCAUCCGUUCUAAAAUUUUCCAAAUGCCUGGGGCAUUAAGAAGGGAAAAGGUUUAGAACUGGAUAUGACUAAAAGGAUUAAACAAUUGUCGAGGACAAUCUAAGGUUUACCAAAGAUUGGUUACUCAAGGACAAUUGGAAGUAUAGUGAUAAUUCUGGAAGGACCAUAUUGACAUAAUCUGUAAGGAGGCAACUCUUGUUCAGAAGUGAUAGUCAAAAUGGAAUCUGGAAAUGUUUCAAAGUUAGAAUUUUCAAUCUGUGUAAGAUUAAGGAAACUUAAUGCAAGAAGGAUAUUUCCAAGGAGUUGAUCUCCUUUGGAAUACUCUGUAAUGAUUGUUGCCAAGUCUUUGUGACUUUGUGCAUAAUCAUUACAAGAGGAUCAAUGCAUAUAAGUUUAGAAUCUAACAGAUUUCAGUAAAUGGCAUGAAUUUGGAAUUCUUGCAUUUGCAGUAAGGAUUUGGGAGUGUGAAAAGAGAAUCAUUGAAGUUAUGUUCAAUUGAUCUAGUUCACAAAGUAAAGAUCAUAGACAAACAUAGUAUGCAUACUUGGUGUGUGGCAUGACUAGUGUUUAAGAAAACAUAGUGUACAUGCUUGGAGCAUGGGACAACUAUUGUUUUAAAUUCAAGAAUAAAGUUGAUAGCUGAAACAGUAUACAAUGAAUAAUGUGUAAUCAUAUGGUGAUAAAUAAAAGGUGUUUUAUUUAUGUUCAAAGGGUUGAUACCAUAUUGGAUUCAAUUAUUAUUGUGUUUCAUUUUGCAUGUUUUGACUUCCCGAAUAAACUGGGUUAUUCUUCCGGAAUGACUAAGUUAUUCAAACCAUCCACAGUCGGUCAUAUGUUGGAAGUAGAUAUGAAUUAAGACUGUCAUGGGUUGGCUUGUAGAGGUCUAAGGUGUUGGACAAAGGGCUACAACACUCAUGAGUGCUCAUAAGUUCUGAGUAUUGGAUUCAACCCGCGCUCAUUGGAAUCACUUCAUGGAUUUUAUCACGAGUGAUCAUGAGACGAUAAUAUCUUAUAUUCUUCAAACCUAGAGAUAUGAGUUGUUACUAUGAGUUGAUAGUACAUUGAUUGCACGAAAACGCAUUUGGUAACUCGGUGCUAUAAAACGUGCCUUUGUGUAUGAUUCAACAAGUAGUAGAACAAGCCAUAUGAGUCGAAGUUUAUCCAUUCCUUUUACCUUCGGGAUAAAAGCGAUAUCUGUGGGCCCCUCGAUGAUUUGAUGAUGACAAAUGGAAGUGCUCGGCCGGGCCAGGACUGAUUUGAUUUGUUCAAUUAGUCAGUCGUCAUAAAUCGGAAAUCGGGAAACAACAAAUGGACAGAGAGAAUGAUUAUAAUCCAUGUCUCAGUCCAUAUGAUAUCUAGAAUGGAGGAAUAUAUGAUCCCUUAUCUAAUGGACAAGUCAUUGACAAAGGUCAGAGUUCAUCUACAAGGUCAGAGUUCGACAGAAGCUUUUGAGAGCUACGAUUGCCAGUUGGUUCCUGAAGUCAUACGCAAUAAUAGUUUUAGACUUAUCCAAGUGGGAGACUGUUGGAUUAAUGUCUAAGUCCAUAACUAUAAUUGGUAAGACUUGACCCGACCCGGCAUGGUCCAUUUGGGUUGCAUGGCAUCAUGCAUUUGGAUAGACUAAAAUGAGAGAAAUAACACUUAAGGUUUGUUAAUAUAUUAUAAGUUCUAAUAUAUUAAUAAGGUUAUUUAAUUAGUAUUGAUCAAGAAUUAAUUUGGAAUUAAUUAAGUGAUCAAAAGGAGACUAAUUAGAUAUAUGGGUUGAUUGUGUAAAUCAUUCAUUCUUAUAUAUGUGGGCUUGUGAUCCAAGAUUCCUUAUGUUGGACUAAGUCCAUGGGGUGACCCAUGGAUACUCCAUGGAGGUUAAAAUCCAUGGAGCAUAAGGAAUGGGUAAAGUCAUGAGUUACAUGGUGUAACCCUAAUAGCCACCAUAUAAAAGAAUCCCAUGGCUCAAGAAAUCGGGCACUAUGUGUGAGUGUGAGGGCUAGACGAUUUCAAGGAGUGUUCAAGUUUCUCUCAAGUUAUUCCAAGUGUAUUUGGUGUUGUGUGAACCAUUUGAGGUGUCACACUUGGGGCACUAGGCACUCAAGCUUCAUGAAGACUUUCUACAUCAAAGAGGUAUGUAUUCUAUCUUGUUAUAUUCAUUGUUUUGUAUGCUAGAUUAGGAUAAUACCUUGGAAGUUCAUAUUUGCAUGUAUAAUAGAGAAAACAUAGAUCCAAGGUAUUUAGGGUUGCAUGUACACUUAGGAGUGUUAAAAUGCUCAAAACCCAACAUGUUCAUGGUGUUUUUGAACCAUUUGAGGCAUCACAUUUGAUGUGCUAAGCUCUUGAAAGGCCAAAACUAUAAGCUACAAUAAAGAGGUAUUCUUCUAACUUGAUUUUAUGAUUAAUGUACCAAAAUUGUAUGCUAGUUGUAUGCUUCAAGCUUUGGAAAUUUUAUUGCAUGUAUAAUUAGAGAAAACAUAGAUCCAAAGCUAUUAGUGUUGCAUGUGCACCAUAGGAGUGUUAUAGUGCUUAAAACCUAACACGACAUUGGUGUGUUAGACCCGCUAACCUAGUGAGGAAACUUACCUCAAAUGCUGAAGCUCACUAAAAGAAAUUCAUAGUUGUUGCCCUGACGACUCCCCGAGUUAUCAAUACAAAAUAACACCCAAUUAACACUUGGGUUCCAAUUUAUAGCCCAUAAUCCAUACUUGGGGCAAAAUGACCAUUUUACCCUGGGCUUACCUUGAGCCAAAACUGAGUCCCAAAUCCAUAAACCCAAAAGGCCCAAAACCAAUAGAUCAACUAAGGCCCACUUACGACUUAAUUUUCCAAACUGGGCCUUACCAUAAAGCCCAAAAAUUUCCUUAGCCCAAAAGCUUGAUUUCAAAUGGACCAAAAAGGCCCAAAGAAACAAAGUCUAAAGAAGUGGCGCAAUCCGAGGCCCUAAGAUGCGAAGCCCAAACUGUUUGGGUAUGUAGGGCGUACUUAGCUAUACACUAAGCGUACUCGCUGCAUGGCUUGUACGCUGCACGUAUUGGCUUGUACGCCCAUCGUACUCCGCUAUUAAGCCAUUUCUUCCAUUAAGCUCUUAAUGCUCAAGUCUAAUGGCCCACAACACAGAUCUGAGUCCCAAAGAGUAUCUAGAACCAUAAAGUCACUGACUUGGUGACUUUGCAUGCCCUAAAAGAUCCCAACUUUGAUUUAUAACAUUCUACUUUCAAUAUAAUGGCCAUAACUCAUGCAUGGAUGCUUCUAAGCUUCUAAGAUGCCAACUUAUGACUUUAAGACCAAAAGAACACCAAGAGUAGCAACUCUAAGCUUUAGAAAUGAUAAUAAUCCACAAGAUCUCAUUUAUGGGACCAAAAUGGGUCCAAAACUCAAACAAAGGAGAUCUCAGCUAUAACACAACAAGUUCAGAUUUUAUACUUCAAAUGAAUGCCAAAAGAUGAUAACCCGGAUCUACAAGCUUCCACUCUUCCAAUAAAGGUGCAAGAUGAUCUCAUUCCUUCAAAACACUAAAAAUGCACCCAAAGACCUUCUAAGCUCAAGAACAAUCAACUAUGGAGUUAGGGUUUCGAGUAUAGGGUUGGGAGGACGAGGAGGUUGAAUAAAUGAGGGUGUCAAGUCCAUAAUUAUGAUUAUAUAGUGUCUAACGUUGGAAAUUAGGGUUUCCAAAAUCCUUACGCAUACCCCGCGUACACUUCUGUAUGCCCAACGUACACCUUCGGAUCCACAAUCAAACCCUCGCAUGAGUACGCUAAGUAUACUACUUGGUUCGCCCCGCGUGCUCGUUUUACAGCUUGUACGCUAGGCGUACCUUGUGGUACGCCCCACGUACAACUCAAGGAGCAAAUAUGAAAAUUUAAAUAAUGUAAGGGCAAAAGAGAAACUUACAAAGAUUCAAGUGUUACAAUUCUCCCCCACUUGAAUUAGACUUCGUCCUCGAAGUCCACCGCCCCGAACAACUCUGGAUAAUAUUUUCUCAUCUCAUCCUCGGGCUCCUAUGUCCACUCUGACCCCUUUCGGUACAGCCACUACACCUUCACCACCUCUACAACCUUGUUCCUCAAGGUUUUCGUCUUCCAAUCUAAAAUUGACACCGGUCUUUCAAUAUAAUUCAGGAGGUCAUCCAACUGAAUAUCCUCCAAUGGUACAAAUGCGGAAUCAUCUACUAAACACUUCUGCAACUGAGAGACAUGAAACAUGCUAUGAAUCUGACUGAGCUCGGCUGGAAGAUCUAGACGAUACACAACCCGGCCAGCCCGAGCCAAAACCCUGAAGGGACCAAUAUACUUGGAGCCCAGCUUGCCCAACUUCCUUAAUCGGAUGUCACCUUUCCAAGGUGACACCUUCAGGUGAUCCAUAUUCCCCACCUGAAAUUCCAUUUCCGAUCGACGCUUGUCAGCGUAACUCUUCUACCGACUCUGAGUUGUCUGGGGCCUGUUUCGAACCUGUUGAAUCAACUCAGUGGUCUUGAGCACCAUAUCGGUACUCCCUGUGACUCGCUAACCGACCUCACCCCAACAAAUCAGGGUCCUGCACUUCCUCCCGAAGAGCAUCUCAAAAAGAGGUCGAUAAAUACUGGUGUGAUAACUGUUGUUUUAUGAAAAUUCUGCUAACAGAAGAUACGUAUCCCAACUCCCAUCAAAAUCCAACAUACAUGAAUGCAGCAUAUCCUCAGGGGUCUGAAUAGUACGAUCACUCUGACCAUCGGUCUACGGAUGAAAUGUUAUACUAAAAUGGAGACGAGUGCCCAACUCCUCAUCAAACCGCUUCCAGAACCUGGAAGUAAAGAGAACAUUCAUGUCUAAAAUCACUGAUACCGGCACCCCAUAACGUGUCACCACCUCCUUGAUAUAAAUCUCAGCCAACUUCUCUGCAGAAAUACUCUUUUGGAUCGGGAUGAAAUACGUGAUCUUGGUCAAACGAUCCACGAUAACCCAAAUAGAAUCCACUCCGCACAUAGUCCUAGGAAGCUUCGUGAUAAAAUCCAUAAUGAUGUCUUCCCAUUUCCAUAUGGGAAUCUCCAACAGGUUCAUCUUGUCGUGAGGAUGCUGAUACUCGGCCUUGACUUUCCUGCAAGUCAGGCACCGCUCAACAUACCAUGCCACAUCCCGCUUCAUGCAGGGUUACUAAUAAUCAGGACAAAGAUCCCUAUAGAUCUUUGUCACCUCGGGAUGAAUGGAGAACCUCGAAUUUCGGGCCUCCUCCAUUAGAAUCUAGAGUACACCGCCCUAACAAGGAACCCAUACUCGUUGAUGCAGAGUCACCAAACCAUGACUAUCAUAAUUGAAGGUAGCCACCUGACCUACAAUGCGCUCACUCUUCCAGUGCUCUUCCUUCAUAGCCUCUACCUGAGGCUCACGAAUCCGCUCCAAUAAUGGAGUAAUCACUAUCAUCCUCAAACAUAUAUCUCUGAUAGAAUUUGUGACUGCCUUGAGGAUGAGAGCAUUAGCCACCACAUUGGCCUUCCCCGAGUGAUAAAGGAUCUCACAAUCAUAAUCAUUCACCACAUCCAACCAACGACGCUGUCUCAUGUUCAAAUUCGGCUGAUCCAUCAGAUACCUCAAGCUCUUGUGAUCCGUGUAAAGAGAACAACGGACCCCAUAGAGGUAAUGCCGCUAAAUCUUGAGGGCAAAAACCACGACCCCCAACUCCAAAUCAUGUGUCAGAUAAUUCACCUCAUGAGGCUCCAGCUGCCUCGAAGCGUAAUAAAUCACACAAUAUCGCUGCAUCAAAACUGCCCCCAGAACGGAGAUCGAAGCAUCCUAAUAAACCACAAAGUCAUCGACACCCUUAGGUAGGGUCAGAAUCGGCGCCUCACACAACCGCUGUCUAAGAGUCUCAAAAGUUUCCUGCUACUCAGGCCCCCAACGAAAUGUCACUGACUUCUUGGUCAGUCGGGUCAAUGGAACAACGAUCUUGGAGAAAUACUGGAUGAAUCUCCGAGAAUAACCUGCCAGACCAAGAAAACUUGAAAUCUGACAUGCAGAUCUCAGAACCUCCCAUUGUAUAACGGCCUUACCUUGGCUAGAUCGACCAAAAUACCCUUCUAGUUGACAAGGUGCCCCAGAAACUGCACCUCGCGCAACAAGAACUCGCACUUGGAGAACUUUGCGAAAAGUCUCUCCCUCCUCAAAGUCUCCAGGACUUCCCUCAUGUACUUUGGAAUAAACCUAGAUGUCAUCAAUAAAUACUAUCACAUACCAAUCCAGCAUCAUUCUACAUAUGCGGUUCAUGAGAUCCAUGAACGCAGCUGGAGCAUUAGUGUGCCCAAAAGGCAUCACCACGAACUCAUAAUGACGAUAUCGAGUCGGGAAGGCUGUCUUCUGCACAUCCUCAUCCCUGACCCAAAUAUGAUGAUAACCCGAAUGCAAAUAAUUCUUGGAGAACCAAGAUGCUCCCUGAAGCUGGUCAAAAAGAUCAUCGAUCCUCGGGAGGGGAUAACGGUUCUUCACUAUUACCUUAUUCAACUCCCGGUAGUCGAUACACAUAUGUUGAGACCCAUCCUUCUUCUUCAUAAACAUAAUAGGUGCUCCCUAAGGUGAACUGAUCGGUCUAAUAAAUCUAUUGUCUAACAGCUCCUGCAGCUGUGUAGACAACUCUUGCAUCAAGGGAGGAACCAACCAAUACAAUGCUUUGGCUCUCUAAUCCACACCUAGAACCAGAUCAAUCAUGAACUUCACCUGCCUUUCUGGAGGCACCCCAGGAAAAUCCUCUGGAAACACAUCUGAAUAAUCCUGCACAAUCGACACAUCAUCCAUGGUCGCAUUACCCUUAUCCCGGGAAUCCAUGACAUAGGCGAAAAAACUCGAGCAACCCUGAAGAAGAUAGCAUCCAACCCUCGCUGCAGAACACAAAAUUGGCCCACGCUGCAGUCUCUCACCAUGAAUAACGAACUCUCCCCCACUUGGGGUCCGAACCUGAACUAACUGCUACUCACAGUGAAUCAUUUCCCCAUUAGGGCUCAACCAAUCCAUGCCCACGAUAUCCUUGUUCCCACGCAGAGGAAUGGGAACCAAAUCAACCAGAUACUGCUCGCUGAAUAACUGAAGAACACAACCCCAGUGAACCCUCACAACCUAAACUGUCCUAUCAUCAGCAAUCUCAACAUCAAGAGGACAAUCCAGCUCCCCCAGAGCUCUAGAAAAUCUCUUGCUAAGCACAAGUGAUAUAAAAGACCGGGUAGCCCCCAAAUCAAACAAUGCUAAAGCAGAAUUACCAUUCACGAAGAACGAUCCUAGAAAUAAAACACAUAAAAAUAAGUAGGCAAUUCAAUAUAAAUAAAGACAUAAAGAGAAGAUACAUACCCGUCACCACAUCGGGAGCUACAUGUGCCUCCUCCACCAUCAGCUGGAAAGCCCUGCUCUUAGCUGCAGGCGUAUCUUCCUGGCCCUAACAGUCGUCUCUAAUCCGAAGAGUCACAGGAGCGGGUGCUGACACCGGUUCUACUGCAGCUAAACGCGGAAAUUGGGCCUUCUUGUGGCCCUUCUAAUUACAAUGAAAACAAAAUAGGUCUAAUCCCUGGGUGGUGGUAGCAGUACAAUCCCUGCUAUAAUGACCCGUCCGAAUACACUUAAAGCAGCCAAAACCACCACCAAUGCCACUCCUGCACGGUGCCUCGUGCGUCCUGCUGCAUUUGACAUAGCUGCUACGGCCCUAAUGGCCCCUCCAUCUGGAAUCCGAUACCUUGGUCAUCUUGCCCGAACCCCCUGAUGUCUGAACCUUAUCUGGCUUCUUCUUCCUAUCCAUCUCCAGGUCAAUCUCCCUUUCCCAAGCUCGAGAAGAUGGACCGGCUUAGAAACUGCCGAAUAUCGCUCCUUAAGAUCUCAUGAUAUCGGUCCUUCUUCAUCUCCUCAUCUGCCACAUAUUGUGGAACCAUAGGUGCCCUCUCCGUGAACAUCGUAGUGAUCUCAGUCACCGUCUCUGUAGUCUGGCGGAGAUCCUGGAACUCUCGUGUCAACUGUUGCACCUCGAUUAUUGGUGCAAACUCAGCUCGAAACCAAGUCGAGAAAUCAUCCCAUGACAUCACAUAAACCGCAUCAUCACCUAGUGCACCCAACCUCCUCCCACCAGUCUUGCACCCUGUGCUUCAAAAGGUAGGAAGCUAAUCUUACCUUGUCCCCCUCAGGACAGUGACUGGUACGGAAAGCGUUAGCAACAUCCGCCUAACCAAUGCCCACUCGCAAAGGGGUCCUUCACCUCAUAAUAAUUUGUAGCUCCACAAGCCCGGAACUCCCUGAAUGUCAAAGAUCAAUCUCCUGCUAAUGCCAUAAUCUCAUAACAGAACGAGCUUAAUCACUCCUCCAAAACCUUUAGGAUACCCUCCUUGACCGAGGCGAAGAUCACACGAGUUUGAUCAAGAAUCCUAUGAGUAAUCUCUGACGAGAGAAACUCCUUAGUCUGCUUAACGAGCUACCCAACUCCAGAUCAUGAUCCUGAACCCUCCCCGGCACUAGAGUUGUUGAUAGGUCUGCCCUGUAAUACCACAAUACUGAAAAUAGACCACAUAAACCACCAGAACAUACACAUUGAGAUAUNNNNNNNNNNNNNNNNNNNNNNNNNNNNNNNNNNNNNNNNNNNNNNNNNNNNNNNNNNNNNNNNNNNAGCUCUCCUUGAAUCGAGUAUGGAUACUCUGCUUCUAGUAGUACGGGCCCAUACUACCUUCUACAUCUAUUUGUACUUUCCUCAAAAAUUGCUUUGGCUCAACCACGUUACUCUAAAUCCAUAUAACCUCCCCUCACAGAUAAGGCUCUUAGCACUAGAUCUCAUGCUAGGUUUUCAUAAGGAAAACUCCAUACCACUCUCCGCCAUCAGCUGCAGAAGGAACUCCCACUAACUUCCUCUAAUGAGCUCGCGAAUACCAUCACAUAUCACUAAAACUAGAGAAUUCUUCGAAUGAGAGGUCUCACACUACAAUGCUUGGUGUAAAAUCCCAUUUAAAUAUAAUAAUUUAAUAAUAAACCCAGAACCCCGAGAAGUGAUUUUUAUUAUUAUCAUAUGUUAUGAUAGUCCAAAAUCUGAUAAUAAUUAUUUGGGAGUCGUUUUCAGGAAGCCAAAUGACAAGAUUUGAAUCUCCAGGGGCUAAUGUAUAAUUUUGGGAUUUAAUUUAUAAAGACUUAUGGAAGUGGAGACUAAAUGGUAAGUUUUGGACCUAACUUGAAAAGGGAUUUGCAUAGGAAGGGCAAUUUGGUAACAAUUGGAUCAAAUUUGAAGGAAAAACAAGAUGGAGGGCUGGUUCUGUCGUUAUGGGAAAAUGUUAUAAGGGAGUCAGGGUAUAAAACCCGCUACCUUCUCAAACCCUAACCCUAGAUCGGAUAUGAUGCAAUCGUCACCACCCGCUCCACCCUUGUUCCCCCAGCCGCCAUUACCCUCUUCUUCCUCCUUCUCCGACUCCGGCGCCGCACCACCACCCAUUGCUCUUGUGUUUCCGACCAACAAAGCCAACCAAUGCCGUCCGUAGCCACUUGUGAUGUCGUCGAUGUUGUUCCAGUGACCCGUGUCGAUGACUCCCUUCCAGCAUGUGGUUGCCUCCGCUGCGCAAAACCGCCUCCAGUCGUAGUGCCAUUGUUGCUACCAUGGCUGCCGAUAACGGAGCUGCCGACGACAAGAUCGAUAGCCGCCAAGUCGAGGACCAACGACGGACGUCGUGGCCACUGNGUCGCCGCCGAUAAUGGAGCUGCUGUCGGAAUUCUGGUGUCACCGCCGCCAGGUGGGUGGCUGGGCUUAUCUCGCGAUCAGAAUAAUGUGUGGCUGGGGGGCCANGCCAGAAAAGACCGGUUUGUUUAUGCUUUGUUUAAAAAUCAGAGUUACAUUUUAAAUGAAAGUGUUGCGGAAUUUGUCCCAAAACAAAAAUAUGAUAAAGAUUUAUCAAAAGAAUUUCCAUAGAAAUGUAUUUCAUUAAAAGACUCGGGAUGUCAUGUUCGUACAGAUCAAAAACAUAAACAGUACAAUAUAAGCCUUACUACAUUAUUUCAUAUCUACAGGCCUAUAUCCGUAAUCGGUCAUCCAAAACAUCACACCUAUGCUCAUGCGCCACUACCUGUAAUACAUAAAACUGAGUGGGUCAGGCUUGGGAGCCUGGUGAGCACAUAGGGUUUUCAACCCACAAUAAAUAAGUUUAUUAAUUUCAUCGAUCAACAAUAACCCGAUUACCCGUUCCCGUUAUCCUCACUUUACGUCCCUAAACACCUAUCAUAAGGGACCUAGCCUAAGGAUCAUCAUCGGGACGGACACUACUGCUAAGGGGAUUCCUCAGCAAUAAAUGUCCUAAAGGCAACCAUGUGGGGGAUGGAGUACACCGGUGAACACAUCGUUCACAAACACCUACAGGUUGCGAGCCUGCUAGUGUUCCACUGGACUGUCUAGAAGAGUCCGUGGUCGUCAUCCAUACUCCGCUAGAUGACAGAAUCAACAACAUCAACAUCGAGGCCUCUCAUCAUUUUAUCACACAUCACCUAUUGCAUCUACCCAUGUUUUACCCCAACAUUUUCGUAGAUAUAAAAUACAUAUACAGUUUAAAUCAUUGAAAACAUGUAUAACAACGUUCAUCUAGCAUAGAUAGCAAGUAUUCAGAUAAUAUGCACACAUAGCACGUAAUUUAUAUAAAAUACUUCAUAUCUAUGUGUAAGUUGAAAGUAACUAUGCACUCACUUGUUAAGGUGAUGAUUCCAAAAUCGGGCAGCGCUUGCUUCUAACGAUUCUAUUUUCCUUCGACGAAACCUAGCAUUAUUAUCGCUAAAUUUUAGUCUAAUAUUUACCGUGACCAACUAUUAGUCUUAGUAUUAUUAUUAUUAUAUAAGCGUUAAACAAUAUUUUCCAACCACUAUGUACAGACAGGGGCCAGACAUAAAACACCGGAGGGCAGGACCAUUUUGGCAUAUAGCACUUCUGAAAUCCAACAACCCUAUGCGGCCCUUUAAACCAGAUUCCCCGUACCGCGAGUAGUUAAAAAAAAAUUUAUAACGACACUUAUAUAAGUUAUAAUAAUAGCUCAAAUAUUUAUUAUAAGUUCAUAAUAACAAUACUAAUUUUAAAUAUAAGCUAUAUUAAAAUAAGGUAAGCAUAACUUACUUACAAGGGGGUUUUAGCUAGGAGUCGGGCUCUGCAGGGGCAGAACUUCGUCGCUGAAUCUUUCUAAGAAAGAUUCGUGCAGCGCUUCAGCGCUCACCUUACUAUACUAAGCUACAGAAAGAGAAGUCGAAUCACGAGGGACCGAAAUGCUCGGGGGAUAAGGAGAGAAAGACUCUUGAAUCAAGAGAAUGGUGCAAGAAAUAUGAGAGCCCAAGGCUCUUAUUUAUACUAAUUGAAUUUUCAAAAACUACCCUCCAUAAUUACUUAAUGACCUUUUAGUUAUAUAAACAACUAAACACCCCUCUAUAAUACUAUUAUAAAUGGAUUUAAUGAUAUUUGUACUAAACUAAUGUCGAAAGAACUCAACAUUAGUCUUAUAAUGACCGCAUCGUCGAUACCUUUCUAAUGAUAUAUACAUAUGUAUAUAUAUGUGUACGUAUACAUGAUUUAUACUUUAUUUUAAUACGUAAAUAUGCUAUUAUAAUUUGUAACUCGUUCAUACGAACUCCGUUUUUGACGUUCUUUAUAUCCACGCGUAGGUGAAGACGUACUCUACAACUUUCGUUUAGACUCCGUCGGCUAAUUUUGACUUUAUUUUUAAAGUUAUAUUUUUAACAAGCCGGGACAGGAUUGGUCUGUUUAAAAUCUCAUAACUUCUUCAUACGAAGUCAGAUUUGGGCGUUCUUUUUAUCGAUGUUCUUAGUUUAACAUAUUCUACGACUUUCGUUUAGAUCACUAAGGCUAAAUCUCGCUCUAUCGUAAAUUCACUAUUCACGCUUCCCGGUAUCGUGCCGGUUCUGUCGUGAAACUUCGACGGGUCAUAACUUCUUCGUUAUAACUCGGAUUUCGGCGUUCCUUAUAUGCACGGAAACCUUGAGACAUAUUCUACAACUUUAUGUAGAGAUAUCGGGAUUAUCUCACACUUUAAUUUUGACGCUCAUUUUUAUUCUUUAUUAAUUAUACAUUUAUAAUUAAAUAAUAAACACAUAUAAUUCACAUAAUACUCAAAUAUUUCAUCUUUAUUACUUCAAAAAGAGUUAGAAGAGUUGACCUAGACUAUUACAUUGACAAAAAUGCUUAGCCCUGAAACCCGGGCGUUACAGCCACUCUCUACCACCGUUUGCUGCCACAAGGUGGCGGUGGGUGUAGUUAUGGGUAGUUUAUUUUGGGUUAUUGUGUGUAUUAUUGUAAUUGGUGCUUGAAAUAAUAAUAGAAAAAUCCAUAACCACCAUCGUGAGGUGGUGGCUGCCGCCAACAGCCGCCAUGUCGGGUGGCGGUGUGCUUUGCCAUGUCGUGUUGAUUCGUUUGGGAUGCAUGAAAGCCUAGUGGGCCCAAUGGAGCCCUAAUGGGCCCAAGGAAACCCUAAUUGACCUAAUAAAACCUUAAUGGGCCCAAUGAGGCCCAAAGUCACAUAAAAGCCCAACCAUUUGAUUAAUGGGAUAGUAUUAGGUUGGAAACCCUAAUUAGGAUUUGGAAAACCCUAAUGCCAUGAAAACCUAAUUUUGGAAAUUGAUAGGGACACACACAGGAAUUAUUUAAUAACUUGAUAUUAAAUAAUAAUCAUUGGCAAAUUAACCUAAGUCAAUAUUAGACUUAUUGGAUUAGGUCCUUAAUGGUUUAUGUUAGAAACACUUAACCCUAAUCAUCAUUUCAUGUGAAAACCCUAAUUUUAGGAUUAUAGGCUUGGACUUAUCGGGACCCACAUUUGGGCCAUUGGAAAAGAAUUGUAUAUUAAGCCCAAUCACACCAUAUGACUUAUUUAGUAAAGUAAGGGACUUAAUGGAUUAAGUGAGAAACACUUAACCCUACUUGUCAUUUUAUGUGAAACCCUAAUUUCACUUGGGCCUUGAGCCUUCCUAUAGGGUUUUGGUGGUUAGACUAUUGAUGGACCAUCCAAGAACAAGUUAAUGGACCAAAGUAAUUAGAUGGGAUUUAGGAUAAGUCCCAUGUGAGGACUUGGGCCCAAUUUGGAAGAUUGGGCCAUAUGUUGGGCCUUGGCCUAUUAGUUGACUUUUGGGCUUUUGGAGUGUGAGUUGGACUUUGGGCUUGGAACCCAAUUAUUAAUUGGGUAUUGUUUGAUGUUGACAGUUCGGAAAUCUAUCAAUCAGCAGCAGGAGUGUACUUUCGGGACUUCAGCAGUGCCAGGUGAGCUCUCCUCACUAUAUCAACAGGGUCUAAGGCACCAAGGCCGACCCUUUAUGGAUUGUAUUCAGAUUAUUGCAUGUUAUGCUUACAGAUUUAUAUCCUGGUAGUUAGGAUAGUGAUAUGCUUUGCUUUAGUGACCCGGUUGGGUCGGUAUCCAAGUAUAUAGGAUGAUGCUAUGUUAGUGACCUGUUAGGUCGAUAUCCUGGUUAUAGGAUUGUUGCUAUGCUUUGUGAUCUGUUAGAUCGGUUUGACUGUUAUAUAUAUACAUGCUAGUGUUAUAUGAUGUCUAUGUGCUCAUGAUUGUCCUGGUUAUAGGAUGAUGCUAUGUUAGUAACCGGUUAGGUAUGUAUCCCGGUUAUUGGGAUGUUGCUAUGAUUGGUGAUGUGUUAGAUCUGUUUGACUGUUAUAUGGAAUGAGCUAGCGUAUGAUAUUUAUGUGCACAUGUUUGUUUGAUUGAGGAUUGGAUUGAGGCGGUCCUGCUUUGUGUUAUAGGCCAACAUACCCGGCGAGCGGUCCGGAUCGGCUGUAGACCCUGCGUGGCGGUCCAGACGUGCCGAAGGCUCGAAGAGCAGUCCAGAUAGACUGAAGGCCUGUGAGGCGGUCCAGUCAAGCUGAUGACUCAUUAAGCAUCCUGUUUUGUAUUGGUUAUAUGAUAUGGUUAUGUUUGUAUGGCGUUGGUAUUUUGGGGAAACUCACUAAGCUUCGGGGUUAUAGUUGUUGAUUUUGUUUCAGGCACUUCAGAUGAUUGCGGGAAGGCGAAGGCGUGAUCGUGCACCUCCUUAUAUUUUCAUGAUUGAUUUUGGGAAUACUCUGAUGUCUAAACUAUUUUGAAAACAACCUGCAAUAACUUAAUGGUUUUAAAAUGUGUUAAAAAGUUUAAUUUUGGCUUGAAUUUUAUGGGUGUUACAAGUUGGUAUCAGAGCCUUGGUUUGAGUGAAUUGGAGGAACACUCGUGUGAAUCUAGUCUCAAAUUAGGGAAAGGAUUUUAAAAUGAAUUUUUAAAUGGUUUUCAAAAUAAGUAAAUGAGGAUGCAAGGUGUACGAUCAGUUAGAGCCAGUAAGUAGACCCCAAAAUACCAUAUAGUGAUUUGAUUAUGUGAUAUGUUAGAAUAGCAUGCUAGUAUUAGGCUAGGGAUCUUCAGGAAUUGCAUGAUAGAAUUGCAUGAUUACAUGAUGCCUGCUAGACUAGGGUUUCCUUAUAUGAGAUUGACAUCAUUGUUGUGGUUACUUGUAUGCAUGACGACUGUAUAUAAUUAAGAUCUUAUAGCCUGAGAAUGUUUGAUUUGGCCUUGUGUUCUAUUCUUAUUGAUUUUGGCUUAGGGUAGGAUCGAAUAUUGUGACAUCCCCAAAAUCUCGGCCAGAAAAGACUGAUUUUCAUUCAUGCUUUUAAAAUAAUUUCAGAGUAAAUCCUUUUGAUUUGAAGGAGUUGCGGAAUUUUUUCCCAAAAGCAAAACAUGAUAAAACAAUGUUUACCAAAGCAUUUCAUAAAAGAAAUGUAUUUUCAUUAUAUAAUCAAAACUCGGGGUGUCAUGUUCCGAUACAGACCAAUAAGCAUAAACGAUAACAUUACAAGUCAUUCAACAAAUAUAUACAUAUACAGACUUGUAAACAAAACAACUUGAUGGUUCAUCCAUCUUAUGCCCUCGCGCCACUUCCUGUAAUACAAAUAAAACUGAGUGGGUCAGGCUUGGGAGCCUGGUGAGCAUAUAGGGUUUUCAACCCACAAUAAAUAAUUAAAUUUAAUUUCCACCAACCAACAAUAACCCAAUUACCUAUUCCCGUUAUUCUCACUUUAUGUCCCUAAGACAACUAACAUAAGGGACCUAGUCUAAGAAUAUUUCAUCGGGGCGACAACACAUGCUUCGGGGGUUCCUCAGCAAUAUAAGUCAAAUAAGGCAACCAUGAGGGGGAUGGAGUACAGCGAAUGAACACCCAAGUUCAUUAACACCUACAGGUGGCGAACCUGCUAAUGUUCCACAAGACUGUCUAGAAAAGUCCGUGGUCGUCAUCUAAACUCCGCUAGAUGACUAAAUCAAACAACAACGAGGCCUCUCAUCUGUUUAUUACACACCAACUAUCUACCCAUGUUCUACCCAACAUAUUAGUAGAUAAAAAUAUACAUUUUUAUACAUAGUUUAAAAACCUGUAUAGCAUGCUUUAAUCAAUACAUAUUCCACAUAACAGAUGAGGCACACACACACAUAACACGUAUUUCAUAGAGAAUAAAUCAUAUCUAUGAGAUAGAAGAAAGUGAAUACACAUUCACACAUAUAAACAACAAUAUACUUAAUACACUCAAACCAUACUUGUAUUAUUAUCGUGUUUAUGAAAGGUAGUAUACACUCACUUGAUCAGAAGAUGAUCGGACAGCACUACGACUUGCAGAAGUAGUAAUCCUCAGCAGAUCUGGAAGAUCUUCACAAAAAUCGAACUUUUCGCGGGCAGAGCUUCGGCUCGGGAAUCGCACUUCUCGGGAUCUUCGGGAUCUCGGGACUUGCUUCGGGGCUCGAGAAUAAUAACAGGGCUUCGGGGUAUUUAUGGCACGCAAAUCGAUGCAAAACGGGAGAGAGAAGAGAGAAAAGAGCAAAAGAACUCGGCUGCCCUCACAUCCUAUUUAUAGGAGGCUGGAGCCUUGGAGUACUCGGGGCGUACUGCUCCGAAACGUCACUGCUUACGUAUCCGAAGUGCUCGAGUGCGAGUGUCGACAUACCUCGGUGUACGCGAGGCGUACUUUGGAUGAGUCUGAUGACUCCUCUUCGGAUAAUGCCGGAUUUCCAAUUAAAUUUAAAUACAAAAUAUUUAAUAAACUUCGGAAAUUCAUAUCUUCUUCAUACGAACUCUGUUUUCGACGUUCUUUAUAUCCACGCGAAGGUGAGACUACGCUCUACAACUUUCGUUUAGACUCCGUCGGCUAAUUUUAACUUUAUUUUUAUUAUUUAUUUUUAAUAGGCCGGGACAGAAAAACUUCGUUAUAAAUUCAUAACUUCUUCGUUUGACGUCCGUUCUCGCCUAACUUUUCAUCGCUUCGAUACCAACAACGAGACCUUCGAUCCUCGUUUAGAUUGCUUCGGCUAAAAACCGCUCGAUCUCAAAUCGAGUAUUUCAGGCUGCAUACCGCUAAGCCGAAACUUCGAUAAAUCAUAACUUCCUCAUACGAAGUCAGAUUUGGGCACUCUAUAUAUAUUCGGAAACCUCGUUUCAACUACUACAACAUUAACCAAAGAUAUCAAGUUUAUUUUACACUUAAAUUUUGACGCUUAUUUUUAUUCUUAAUUAAUCAAACCACAUAAUUAAGCAAUUAAGCACAAAACACAUAAUACUCAAUUAAUAAAAUCUUAUUAUUUCAAAACGGGUUACAAAAAUUAACCUAGACCAUUGCAUUGCUAAAAAUGGCAAGCCCGGAAACACAGGCGUUACAAAUAUUCAAAAGUCUAUGGGGUCCAGCGUUAUGUAUGGCUAGCAAACACUAGUGCUGCAAGGUUGAUGGAAGUUUUAUGGAUGGGUGGGUUGUGAGAGGCCGAGAGGCCAGUUAUGAGAUAUUUAGCAUUUCUCUAGGAGUGAGGAUUGAGUGCUCGCUAUGUUUAUGUAUAUUGUUAGGGUGUUGUGAUGAUACUUGAGACAAAUAUGGGUAGGUGUGGAAGGUAGUAUGCGCCCGUACUACUGAAAGCACGGGACCCAUACGCGUAGCAAGGAAGUCACAACCCCUAGGGUUUGGUUGGGAAUUAGCUCUUUGUCAUUAUAUGGGUUAUCAGAGACCUUUCUGGUGUGUUACCAGAAAGGUGGUUACGAGACGUCUUGAGAGUGGAUUUGAGUUAGGAUCGGGAGCUGGCAGCCAGGAUAGACCAGCAUUGUCAGUGGAUCGUGUCGGUGAGAUCAUCCGAGAGGAGGUGAUCGGGAUUUAUCUGGGGUCAGAUUUCGGAGAUAUUUGGGUCUAUCAAGACCGCCAUGGUUGAAUACCUUGACGAGCGCUAUGUAGCCAUUGUUGAGACGGCUGCCGCAACAGCUUCAACAACUGUAACAACAGCAGGGGAGGAGCUGGUCGAGCUUUUCAGUAUUGUGACUUGUUACUCGGACAUAUUCUGAUGAGCAGAGGGCUACAAUUAUCUUGGAUCAGGAAGAUGAUUUGUACUCGUUAUAUUUUCGCGGGUGAGCGGGAGAGGAUAACACCUUAGUUUCUAGAUUUGAGGCUCGGGGGUUUUGAUCGAGGCCGGAUGUGAGUCGCGGGGACUCCGGAAAGGAGUCAUGAUUGUGUUCAACUGGAGUUAUGCAACUGGAAUUAAAAAUGGUUUAUUGAUAGGAUUGGAAUGUCUUUUUCUAGGGCAAGUAUUAUGCCUUUUCAGUUUACGAGCUCGAAGGAUUAAGCAGGCUUGUGAUCCCAGGAUCAGGUUGUAUUCUAACUCGGGGUUAGUUGGUUUCCGGGAUUGGCGACCGUGGUUUAGCAUGGGUAAGCGCAUGUGGGUCGAUGUGGCAUAAGUAUUUUAGAGGUCCAUUUCGCCUUGGAUCUCCUGUAUCGGACGGUAAGGACUGAUUGUGUGAUCUAUUGCACUUUUGGGAUCAUAGACUAUGUCUUGGGAGUAGUUGUAGCAUGGUUUAGGGCAAAUGUUGUUUCAGCUACUGCAGUUCAGCUGCGGAUGAUUGAGCUGGUGAGUGAGUCAGGGUAUGAGGUCCUAAAUGAUAUGAUUUCUAGAGCCGAGAGCGGGAGAUUUGUUGGAGCACCUUGGGAAGAAGGGUAUUAUAUGGGAGGUCUACGGGCAGGGUCCCACAUGAUGGUUAUUCAACAUUGUUAGGAUUCAGUGGUUUUAGUAUUGAUUGGCGGAGGAAAACACCAAAGGAUGUAGCUCGUUGUUGAGACAUUAGUUGGAGUAUCUAUCUUUGGACUUUAAGGUUUGGGAGUGGGAUCAUUCGAGCAUUGGGGACUGUUGGUGUCCCUGGGAUUCAGAAGGUGUUCAGCUAGUUGUUAGAAGUGUGUGAUCACUGGGGAUUGGCUGGUAAUGGAGCACUAAUUGGUAAGAGUUGGUUGUAUGUGGAUCAAUGGUUGGUAGUGAGAAAGAUUGGAAAUUCUCCAAUUUUCAUGUAUGGUGAAGACUUAGUCGAAUCUAAGUGGGGGAGAAUUGUCUCGUGAUAUAGAGGCAGGGGUGGCUUUGGAAAUAGGAUAAGUUUCGCAUCAUUGUCAUGAAGGAAGACAACCUAAGUGGCUGUUUGGUUUGUGGGUUGUGUGAAUUGGGAGUUCAGUAAAACUCCUGAGCAUGUGUAUCACGUUUUCCUGGUUAUUGAUAGCAGAAUUCGGGAAACCGGGUUGGAGUUCUAGUCAUGAAUGGUGUUUAGUUCGAGUAUUCGGCCGAGGGUUUGCUCGACUCUGAAGGUUUUGGAUUGAUAGGUUGAGGGUAUUGAUAGCUACCAGGACUGGGCAGUACAUUCAGCAUAGGUGUGCGGGUUAUUAGCAUAUGCGGUAGACACGCAGGUUAGGGAAUAGAGCAUGGAUUUCCGUGGGGACGGACGAUUAACAUGAGGCCUAGGAUUAGGCCGAGGUUAGAGUCCAAGAAAUAGAUUAGGUGUUCGGAACCUUAAGUGGGUGAGAACAGUCUGCAUGGGAAAGAUCACCAGGGGGUGGUCCAAGGAGAUGUUCAAUAGUUUAGAGUGGUCCAGAUGACUGAAGGCCUAGUGAGGCGGUCCAAGCAUGCUGAAUACUCUGUAUGUGUUUGUAGAUGUAUGUGUGGGUAUUGAGUAUGCUGCUAUGUUAUAUCAAUCAGUAGGUCUGUUCCCAAGUAUCGAACAUGUUGUUGGAGUAAGCUAAAGACUCCAAUAUAUUUUGGGUUGAUCGGGAGUUGUUAUUAGAAAUCGGAUAGAGUAUAGUGGAUCUUGGUGAUCUCAUCAGUUCGGAGUGUCUCAUGGGAUUAAUCUGUUUGGAUCAGGUAAUACUCUAGUUAGGUGACUGGGAGUAGAUCUGAAUGGGUAUUCGUCAGUUUUAGGAAGGCAUGGGAUUAGAAUGUUCUGUCGUUCAGGCUCUGGGAACCGGAUUAGACCUGGUUAAGCUAGUGAUAAGACUGUGGGAACGUCACUACAUUUAUGAGGUCAAGGAAGCAAUAGAUUGCUUAAGAUUGCUUGUGAUGUAAGGCUACCAUUAGUCAUAUAGAAAUUCCUUUUUAACCGUGGAUUUGGUAACGACAGGAUUUGACGCAUGGAUCCGAUUGGUUGGAUCAGGAGGUUGUUAGAGUCGCAGUGUCAUGGUAACUAGUGGCAACUAGUUCCAGGGAAGGAUUUCGUUCGGAGGUCGUGUGAGGCAACUAUGUGGGAGUCCUUUAGCUCCGCGACCGGCCCGGAACCCGGUAUUUCAGAUGAGUGGUACUCGGUUGUGAUGAAUUAGAGGAUUUUAGGUGGGAUGCAAGGAUAGGUCCUUGGAUUUGAAGUUAUGGGUUAGACCCGAGUUAUGUAUAUAAUGGUAUUCCAAUCUAGGGUAUUCCAUCGUUAGGAUGACUGAACCCUAUGAUUGAUUGGAUAUGGUGUGUUUGGUAUUCCAACCCAGUGGUUGAUUGGACUAAACACAUGCGUGAUACGAGGGUAUUCCAUCCUAGGGAUGACUAGACCCGUCGUAGGCAUGCCUGGUAUUCCAGACCGAGGUAGCUUGGGCCAGGUAUGAGUAUUUGUGCUUAUGAGCCGGUUAUUAUAUGUAUGUGGUUCGGGAACUAAAGGAUCACAGUUAGCAGUGUAGGGUUUGUGAUUCUAUUUUUUAGUGGGAACCUCAUAUUAUUUGAAGAUGAGUAGCCAGUUGGGAGUUAAGUGCAAUGCGUUCGACAAUGAUCCAGUGUGGGCAGUCUGUUAGGGAGCCAGACCAUCUCGAGACUUCAGAUUAACAAUUGAGUAAACGUGAUCAUAUUUCAAGGGAUUCGUUUAUUUUCAGGUUUUGGAACCCUACGAGGGUUGGUUACUGUUGCCUUGGAAAGUCUAGAUUUAUACUCGGGGUUGUGGUUCAAGUUGUUUGGAGUGUAAGGAAUGAGAAGAAACGAUUUCGAGGACGAAAUCAAAUUCAAGUGGGGGAGAGUUUUAACAUCCCAUUUAAAUAUAAUAAUUUAAUAAUAAACCCGAAACCCCGAGAAGCAAUUUUUAUUAUUAUCAUAUGUUAUUAUAGUCCAAAAUUUGGUAAUAAUUAUCUGGGAGUCGUUUUCGGGAAGCCAAAUGACAAGAUUUGAAUCUCCAAGGGCUAAAGUAUAAUUUUGGGAUUUAAUUUGUAAAGAUUUAUGGAAGCAGGGACUAAAUGGUAAGUUUUGGACCCAACUUGAAAAGGGAUUUGCGUAGGAAGGGCCAUUUGGUAACAGUUGGAUCAAAUUUGAAGGAAAAACAAGAUGGAGGGGCUGGUUCUGUCGUUAUGGGAAAAUGUUAUAAGGGAGUCGGGGUAUAAAACCCGCUACCCUCUCAAACCCUAACCCUAGAUCUNNNNNNNNNNNNNNNNNNNNNNNNNNNNNNNNNNNNNNNNNNNNNNNNNNNNNNNNNNNNNNNNNNNNNNNNNNNNNNNNNNNNNNNNNNNNNNNNNNNNNNNNNNNNNNNNNNNNNNNNNNNNNNNNNNNNNNNNNNNNNNNNNNNNNNNNNNNNNNNNNNNNNNNNNNNNNNNNNNNNNNNNNNNNNNNNNNNNNNNNNNNNNNNNNNNNNNNNNNNNNNNNNNNNNNNNNNNNNNNNNNNNNNNNNNNNNNNNNNNNNNNNNNNNNNNNNNNNNNNNNNNNNNNNNNNNNNNNNNNNNNNNNNNNNNNNNNNNNNNNNNNNNNNNNNNNNNNNNNNNNNNNNNNNNNNNNNNNNNNNNNNNNNNNNNNNNNNNNNNNNNNNNNNNNNNNNNNNNNNAAUGGCAUCUCUCUCUCUCUCUCUCUCUCUCUCUCUCUCCGUUCUGUUCGGGCCGCUGCUAGCGGUGGUCGCCGCCGAUAAUGGAGCUGCUAUCGGACUUCUGGUGUCACCGCCGCCAGGUGGGUGGCUGGGCUUAUCUCGCGAUCAGAAUAGUGUGUGUUUUGCGUGUGUGUCGUGUGUGUGAUUGCCUUGGCCGAAGUCACAAGAGGCAACCACCACCACCGUGAGGUGGUGGCUGCCACUCUCUACCACCGUUUGCUGCCACAAAGUGGUGGUGGGUGUAAUUAUGGGAAGUUUAUUUUGGGUUAUUGUGUGUAUUAUUGUAAUUGGUGCUUGAAAUAAUAAUAGAAAAAUCCAUAACCACCAUCAUGAGGUGGUGGCUUCCGCCUCCUGCCGCCACCGGCCGCCGUGUCGGGUGGCGGUGUGCUUUGCCUUGUUGUGUUGAUUCGUUUGGGAUGCAUGAAACCCUAGUAGGCCCAAUGGAGUCCUAAUGGGCCCAAGGAAACCCUAAUUGAGCUAAUAAAACCUUAAUGGGCCCAAUGAGGCCCAAAGUCACCUAAAAGCCCAACCAUUUGAUUAAUGGACUAGUAUUGGGUUGGAACCCUAAUUAGGGUUUGGAAAACCCUAAUGCCAUGAAACCCUAAUUUUGGCAAAUUAACCUAUGUCAAUAUUAGACUUAUUGGAUUAAGUCCUUAAUGGGUUAAGUAAGAAACACUUAACCCUAAUCAUCAUUUCAUGUGAAAACCCUAAUUUUGGGAUUAGGGGCUUGGACUUAUCGGGACCCACAUUUGGGCCAUUGGAAUGGAAUUGUGUAUUAAGCCUAAUCACACCAUAUGACUUAUUUAGUAAAGUAAGGGACUUAAUGGAUUAAGUCCUUAAUGGGUUAAGUGAGAAACANCCCUAUUUGUAUUUUAUGUGAAACCCUAAUUUCACUUGGGCCUUGAGUUGGGCCAUCCUAUAGGGUUUUGGUGGUUAGACUAUUGAUGGACCAUCCAAGAAGAAGUUAAUUGACCAAAGUAAUUAGAUGGGCCCAAUUUGGAAGAUUGGGCCAUAUGUUGGGCCUUGGCCCAUUACUUGACUUUUGGGCUUUUGGAGUGUGAGUUGGACUUUGGGCUUGGAACCUAAUUAUUAAUUGUGUAUUGUUUGAUUUUGACAGAUCGGAAAUCUGUCAAUCAGAAGCUGGAGUGUACCUGCGGGACUUCAAUAGUGCCAUGUGAGUUCUCCUCACUAUAUCAAUAGGGUCUAAGGCGCCAAGGCCGACCCUUUAUGGAUUGUAUUCAAAUUAUUGCAUGUCAUUCUUACUGAUUUAUAUCCUGGUAGUUAGGAUGGUGAUAUGCUAUGGUUUAGUGACCCGGUUGGGUCGGUAUCCUGGUAUAUAGGAUGAUGCUAUGUUAGUAACCUGUUAGGUCGGUAUCCUGGUAUAUAGGAUGAUGCUAUGUUAGUAACCUGUUAGGUCGAUAUCCUGGUUAUAGGAUUGUUGCCAUGCUUUGUGAUUUGUUAGAUCGGUUUGACUGUUAUAUAUAUACAUGCUAGUGUUAUAUGAUGUCUAUAUGCACAUGAUUGUCCUUGUUAUAGGAUGAUGCUAUGUUAGUGACCGGUUAGGUCUGUAUCCCCGUUAUUGGGAUGUUGCUAUGAUUGGUGAUCUGUUAGAUCGGUUUGACUAUUAUAUGAAAUGAGCUAGCGUAUGAUAUUUAUGUGCACAUGUUUGUUUGAUUGAGGGAUGGGUUGAGGCGGUCCUGCUUUGUGCUGUAGGCCAACAUACCGGCGAGCGGUCCGGAAAGGCUGUAGGCCCUGCGUGGCGGUCCAGAUGUGCCGAAGGCUCGAAGAGUAGUCCAGAUAGACUGAAGGCCUGUGAGGCGGUCCAGUAAGGCUGAUGACUCAUUAUGCAUGCUGUUAUGCAUUGGUUAUAUGAUAUGGUUAUGUUUGUAUGGCGUUGGUAUUUUGGGGAAUCUCACUAAGCUUCAGGCUUACAGUUGUUGAUUUUGUUUCAGGUACUUCGGAUGAUUGCAGGAAGGCGAAGGUGUGAUCGUGCACCUCCUCAUAUUUUCAUGAUUAAUUAUGGGAAUACUCUGAUGUCCAAAUUAUUUUGAAAACAACCUGUAAUAACUUAAUGGUUUUAAAAUGUGUUAAAAAGUUUAAAUUUGGCUUGAAUUUUAUGGGUGUUACAGUUGGACUCAAACAAGAGCUGUGUAAUAGAGUUAAAAUCUAAACUUCUAAAAAUAUUUAGUUCUCAUAAUAUGUAACUUAGCAAAUUCGUUUACUAGUUAGAUGAAGCUAGUUAGAACUCCUAAAAGCACGAAGCAAGCAACAUUCGAGUAUCAAGUAUCAGAACCAAGCAUAACCUAAUCAAGCCAUCCUAUCACUGACUGAUCAGUACUAGCAUGAUAGUUUACACGCUCAUACAACAUGCAUACAAAGACAUCUCUCCUAGCAUUCUAUCAUGACUGAGCAAAUCCUUAUCCCUAACUAGCAUGCGGUUCACAGAUACACAGAUCAAAGAAUAUCAAAUAAAAUGUAUGGGUAAUAUGGGAAAACUUACUUAAGCUCGACUGAUUGCAUGCACCACACCCUUUCUUAUUUUAGAAAAACUUUUUCUUCAAAUAUUUUUCUUUUGGAAAAACUUUACCAAAUCCUCAGUUUGAGUUUAGACACACCCGAGAGUGUUCCCAAAUCCCUCAAACCAAGACUUUGAUACCAACUUGUAACGUCCAAAAAAAUAUAGUCCAAAAUUUCUCUUAUUCUCAGGCCUCGCUUGUCCUUGGGCCUCGCCCGCUAUACACAUACAAUCUAUAUCACAUAAUCAUGCUAACACAUAUAAUGAUCAUAAACAAUAGCAUAUGCUCCAGUCCUUAGGCCUCGCCUAGCAUCGAGCCCCACCUGGUAUAUAUAGCAGCACAUAUCACAUGCAAGGGUCACACAGACUCCUAGCAUCCUAGGAUAAUCAAUAAGGGCCGACAUCGAUGCCUUAGACCCGCUAAAACCAGUGAGGAAACUCACCUCGAAUGCUAAAUCUCACUGAAAGAAAUCCGUAGCUACUACCCUGACUUCUCUCCGAGCUAUAAGUACAAAAUAAAACCCAAUUAACACUUGGGUUCCAAUCUAUAGACCAUAAUCCAUACUUGGUGAAACAUCUCAUUUUCAUAACAAAAAGUUUUCAUUUUUAUUAAGGUAAAACUUCCAGUUUGUUAAUCCAUUAAUUAAUUUAAACCGUUUAUUCCGAAUCAUAUUUGUUAAAAAUCAAAGUAUUGUAGAAACCAAAAUCUUCAAUGUUGUUGAUGAGUGUGUACAGUCCUGCCUUCGCCUUCCAACAAUAACUGAUGAUACUUGAAACCAUAAACAACUGGGUAAGCAUAAAGCUUAGUGACUUUCCCCAAAAAUACCAUGAUAUAAACAGCUGACAAAUAUAAUCAAACAUGUCGGCCCCAGUCAACCAUCUGGUUGGGAUACCCUAGGCCUAGUUAACCUCCGGGUCCAGUCAUCCUCGGGAUGGAAUACCCCAUGUUGGACUGUGUAACAUCCCGGAUCCCAGGUAUAAAUUUGAAGCUUUAAUGUUCACAUUUUUAGACCUACUCAACGAGUUGGUUCCCCCAACUCGUUGUGUAGAGAUUAGUCAGCCCGCGUGAACUUUAGGACCUACUCGACGAGUUGGAGGACCCAGCUAGACGAGUAGAGGUUGUGUUUGAAAACCCUAAUUUUCUCCUUACCACCUUUUGACGUCCAGAAGCAAACCCUAAUUGAGCUAACCCUAUUUUGAGUGUGUGUGUGUGUGUGUGAGGCUAAAAGUGUGUGUUUGGUGCAUUUCUUGAAGAGAUUUGAAGAUUUAGAAGCUUGGAACAAGAAGGGGAUUAUAGAUCCAACAUCUACACCGUUUCGGCAUUCAUUUGAAGGUAAAAAGGCAUUACCUUGAUCAUUUUCUUAGUAGAUAUCUUCAUUCAAGAGUUUAGGGCCAUUUAUAGCUUAUCCUUGAAGCAUUGCUGGUUUUGAGCAUGAUUUGAAGUUAUAACUUCAGAUCUGGAUUCCUCUAGGACCUCAUUGACAUAAAGACUUAAGCUUUAUGAAUAUUUGUCCCUUCUCCAUGACCUAAACCUCUUCCUAAGACUAUUUUUGAGUGGUUUAGCUUCUUGAAGCCUUGGAUGCAUGUAAAGUUAGCAACUUUACGUGGUAACUACACACUAGGAGGCUAGAUAUACAAUUUGGAGCCUUGGUUUAGCUUAAAACAUCUGAAUGAGAAAAGGACUGAAGGAACUCCACAAGUUGCUUAGUCAACUCGACGAGUUGAAUAAGGGUUUCCCAUUUCUGGAUGUUGAGUGAACUCGGCGAGUGGGUGAGACGACUCGACGAUUUGAUUAGAGUUUUCGGUCUCCUGGACACUAAAGAACUCGACGAUUUGACUCGAGUUUUCAAUUUUAUGGACUCUGAAGGAACUCGACGAGUUGCUAUAUGCACUCGACGAGUUGGCAUCAACAUGAACUGUUGACCUUGAUUAUUGACUUUGACUCUGACCAGGGUUUACCAACAUUGACUUCUAAGGGUAUUUUGGUAAUUUUGGAAUUUAUGGAAUUGGAUCGAUGGUGGUUGUAUGUGUUUGAGUUUGGAGCCAGACUUCGGAGUUUGACCUUUUCAGUUCAGCACUACUUGUGACGUGAGUUUUACUCGCUAUACUGACAGGAUCGAAGGCACCAAUGCCGACCCUUUCUUUUGGAUUGUUAUCAUGGUUAUUGCAUGAUGAUAUGCUUAGUGACUUGUUAGGUCAGUAUCCUGGUAUAUAGGAUGUUGCUAUGAUUAGUGAUCUGUUAGAUCGAUUUGACUGUUUGUACAUGCUAGCUAGCGUUUGAUAUAUAUAUAUAUAUAUAUAAAUUAACAUGAGAGACAAACUGUAAGUUCUGCCACUAAUUNGAUUGUCUGGUUGGGGUUCGGUUGAGGUGGACCUGCUUUGUGUUGUAGGACAACAUACCCAGGGUGGCUCAGAUAGACUGCAGGCCUAAUAGGGCAUAUCAGUUAGAUCGAAGGCCCGGAGAAUGGUCCAGACAGGCUAAAGGUUCGAUAGGGUGGACCAAACAUGUUGAAGGUUCUUUGAGUAGGCAAGAUAGACUGAAGGCUUGGUGAGGGCGGUCCAGUCAUUCUGUAGACUCUAUAUGCAUGUUGUUUGUUAUGAUAUGAUUAUGGUUUCUAUGGCGUUGGUAUUUUGGCAGAACUCGCUAAGCUUCGGGCUUACAGUUUUAGAUUUCGUUUCAGGUACUUCAGAUGAUCGCGGGAAGGCGAAGGCGUGAUCAUGCACCUCCUCGCAUUUUAUGAUUUUGAUUUCUAGGAUACUCUAAUAUGAAACUAUUUUGAAAACAUUUUACAAUAAAUAAUGAUUUUAGAUGUUUGAAAAAGUUAAAUUUUUUUUUUGAAAUUUAUGGAUGUUACAAGUUGGUAUCAAAGCCUUAGUUUGAGUGAAUUGGAGGAACACUCGUGUGAAUCCAGUCUCAAACUAAGGAAAAAGGUUUUCAAAAUGAUUUUCAAAGGGUUUUCAAAAUACUAAAGGAGGAUGCAGAGUGUACGAUUAGCCAGAGCCAGUAAGUAGACCUCAAAAUACCAUAUGGAUAUUUGAUAUUAUGAUAUGUUAGAACAGCAUGCUAGCGAUAAGUUAGGGAUCUUCAGGAAUUGCGCAAUAGAAUUGCCUGAUUAUAUGAUGCCUGGUAGCCUAGGGUUUUCCUUAUAUGAAAUUGACAUCAUUGCUGUAGUAGCUUAGUGUAUGCAUCAUAGUUGUACAUAAUUAAAAUUUUAUAGCCUAAGAAGGUUUGGUUUGGCCUUAUUUCCUAUUCUUGUUUGAUGAAGGGCUUAGGGUAGGAUCAUAUAUUCGAAUGUAUAUAUGGUCUAGCGUUAUGUAUGACUAGCAUACACGAGUGCUGAAGGGUUUGUGGAAGUUUCAUGGAUAGGUUGUGCGGGGUCAGUCGGCCAGUUAUGAGAUGUUUAUCCAUCCUCUAGGAGUGAUGAUUGAGUGCACUCCAUGUUUAUGCAUAUGAUUAGGGCAUUAUGAUGAUACUUGAGACAAAUAUGUGUAGGUGUGGAAGGUAGUAUGGGCCCGUACUACUAAAAGCAUAGGACUCAUACGCGUAGCAAGGAAUUCAACAACACCUAGGGUUUUGAUGGAAGUUGGUUCGCAGAUUAUUGUAUGGAAUGUCUAAUAUCUCCUUAGUGUAUUUUCAGCAUGGUGGUUAUGAGGCAAUUUGUGAGUGGAUCCUGAUCAGGAUCAUGAGAUGGCGGUCAGGGUAGACCAGCAGAACUUGAGACUAUUGAUCAGAUGAGGCCAGACGAGCUGGACACCAGGAUUCGAGAAAUCCUGCAUGAUGAGGUUGCUACACUGUGCCGGGCGUGGUUGCCGAAGAUGUUUGGGUCUAUCAAGACCACUAUGGUCAAGUACUUUGAUAAGCAUUAUGCAUCCCUUACUGAGACGGUUGCCGCUGCAGCCUCCGCAACUAUAGCAGCCGCUGGUGGUGGGACCAGUCGGGCUUUUCAUUAUCAGGACUUCGAUAACACGAAGCCCUGACUUUUGAUGGGACUCAGGACCCGAUCAUAGCCAUGUGGUGGCUAACUGAUGUGGAGGGAUGUUUCUUUACAUGCUAAUCUCCUGCUGACCAGAAGGUCAAGUGUGAUUUAAACCUGCUGAGGUUCGGAGAAAAGGACUGGUGGAGGUUGAUGACUGGGUCAUAUUUUGAUGAGCAGAGUGUUAUGGUUACUUGGAAGCAGUUCAAGAAUAUGUUUUGCGCUCGCUACAUUCCGCGGGUUGAGUGGGAACGACUGGCACAGGAGUUUCUGGAUUUGAGAUAGGGUUUAGAGUCGAUGACGAAGAUCACCCGUAUGUUUACUGAGAGGGUGAUGUUUUGCCUGGAGUUUGCUUCCUAGCAGGGUCUAAUGACACGUUAUCUGAGCAUACUCAAGACCGACAGCCGACAUUGUUGGAAUAGUGUCUAAGCCCGUAAGUAUAUUUGGUAUGUACUUGACCUGGUUGAGCAUGGUCCUUUUGGGUUGCCUUCACCAAAGAAACUUGACAAGGUAAUUUAAGGAGAGAGAGAGAGAGAGAGAGAGGAUAUUAUGGUUUAUUAAUAUAUUAUAAUAAUAAUAUAUUAAAGGAGCAAUCAUAUUUAUUUAAUUAGUAUUAGUCAUAAAUUAGUUACGAAUUAAUUUGGUGACUAAACGAGAUUAAUUAAAUAAAGCGGCAUAAACUGUCAAAUGUGUGAUAGUUGAGUUUUGGUCUUGGAAACCUAAUGGACUAAGGGGGAAUGAAAUUAUGAUGAAGGAUCAUCAUAUUUUCAUCCAAGGCCCUAUUCUAGAAGGUUCCUUGGGUUGCUUGGUCAUUAAGCUGUCCAUUAGGGUUUAGACUGAAACCCUAGCAGCCUACAGUAUAAAUAAGACCCCUAGCCUUCAAUUUUCGGCCACUUGCUUCCCAAGAGAAACCCUAGGCCGAAAUUAAGCAUCCUCCCUCCUCUCUCAUAGUUGCCUUCUUUCUUGUGGUAUUUGUAAGCCAUUAGAGGAGUUACAAUUGUGACUCUAAGCUCCAAGAAAGAAGAUUCAAGCUUCCAUUGAAGAGGUAAACAUCUAGAUCUGAUGUUAUAUGUUAAUUUCGAAAUUUAUGUAUGCUAGAUUAGGGUUUGUAAGUCUUGGAUUCACUGCAUGUAUAAUAGAGAAACCUAGAUCCAAGCAUUAGGGUUUGUAUGAACACAUAUGAUUGUUCUUAUGUAUAAAACCCAUCAGUGGUAGUAGAGCCUUGAUUGGUUUCUGUUGUAUGUGAUGUAAUUGUUGCGUUUCUGCUGAAAAUCAUUUUUCUGGCCUCUGCCCGACUCAAUCGGCGAGUUGUCUCAACUCGGCGAGUCUAGGACUGACUCGGCGAGUUCGGGAGUCAGACAGAGCAUAUCUUGGGAUUUUCUUGUUGUUUUGCUAUAGGAUAAAUUCCAAAAAUCGUUUUUUGAUAAUAAUAUCCGAAUUUUAUUGUAUGCAAAUGAUUAUCCUUACCAAAACAAAAGAUAAUCUCAAAUCUUUUGAAUAAUAGUUUCUUUAUAUGAUAAAUAUGCAUUAUUUAAAUUAUUUGGUAAUUAUCUUGUGACUAAAAUUAGAUUAGGUUAAAUAUUGAUAAUCAUAAAAUUAAUUGUUUAAUUAAUAUUAUUUGUUAUUUGAUCCCUUGUGUUUUGAAAAGUUCAAAACUUGUCCUCAAGUUUUGAAAUUUAAAUUUUAUGAUUAAAAGUUUAAUUUUGAAUGAUUUAACUUUCAAGCCCUUAGAAUUUUACAAGUUUAAAAUUCAACCCUAUACUAUUAUAUUAUUACAAGAUUAAUUAAUAUAUAUGUAUAACUUAAAGUGCUAGUCUUACCGUUAGUAGGCCUCAUUCACGAAGCCGAUCUAUAAGGGGGGGUAAAAUGUUAUGGCCUAUAAAAUAGUCGUUUAAUGGGUAUCCACUCUUACCCAUCGCUUCCUUGAUUGGUGGAGGGUCGUUAGCCGAACGGGUAGGAUAGGGCAAUUCUCUCCUCGUUAAAAGUAUAAUGAAUGAUACAAAGUAACUACAAUGUUUUUACAAUUUUCCAAUCUUAGUUACUUUAGGGUAAAAUGUGAAAAUGAUGCUAAUCCUUAGAAUUACACUUUGUACCCUUGCCAAACGUUAGUGGAGCGUGUGUGGUUAACCGACACACUAAUUUGGGAUUGACAUUGGUAGCAAAGGGUGCCUUGAUGUUUGUCGUAGAUCAAUGGAGCGUGUGUGGUUUACCGGCACAUUGAUUAGGUGAUAGAGACAUUGAGUGCACCAUGUUGAUUCACAUGGUUAUUCACACCUUGUUUGUGAUCCUCGGUAUCCCAGUCACAAACUUGAAGGGCAUAUCGAGAUUUAAACAUGCCAUUGAAAAGUUCAAUGAAUCUCAAAAGAAUCUAGGAGUUUUCAAAUACGUUUAAAACUUAAAUUCUUUUCGCUUAUCUUGGUGGAAAUUAGUGAAUCUUCAUUCACUUACCUUCAAAUUAUUUGCAUUUAGAUUAUGGCAUCCGUUUUGUAAGGUGUGAAUAAUGUUGUUGGAUCCUAGCCCUAAUUUUUCAUUUGGGUGUUUAAUUGGGGAUUCAUUUCUAAUCAAACUUUGUUCCUUUCUUUUUUCAAAUGUCUGCUAACAACAACAACAACGCUUCUGGGUCAUUCUCGCUGAUGAACCUAUGUCAAAAGGUGACAUUUGAUGGGUCAAAUAUCAACGAGUGGAUGAGAUACAUUCGUAUGAUCACUCGCUACAAGGACAAAGAAUAUGUCCUCGAUGAGAAGCUUGAAAAGAUCAUCCCAGAUGUUGCUACUCCUGAAGAGGUGGCCGCCUUUGAGUCCCACGAGCGUGAUGCUACGAAAGUUCAUUGCAUCAUGCUGGCCACCAUGAAUCUCGAACUCCAAAAUUCCUAUGAGGACAUGUAUCCAUAUGAAAUGCAUCAAGAUUUGCUGGACAGGUACCACCCAAGCGCAAAGCAAGAGCGAUAUGAGAUCAUUACUAACAUGAUCACCACUAAGAUGGGGAGUGGAGAGUCCCUAACCUCUAAUUUGCAGAAAAUGCAGAGGUAUGUUGAUCGUCUUCUCAAACUUAAUGUUAAUUUUGAUGAGGAUUUGGCUAUUGACAUCAUCCUCCAAUCCUUGCCUUCCUGCUACAACCAGUUCAGAAUGACCUACCACAUGAAUAAGGAAGAGGUCUCCUUGAGUCAGCUUCAAGGACUGCUGAGAGCAACCUCAAGGAAAAAUCUGUUGCAUCAUCCCUUGUUGUGGCUGCUCCUGUGUUGGCAAUUGGCCAAUGGAAGGGAAAGAAGAGGAAGGCUCCUCCAAAGAGCCACGAAAAUGGAAAGUCCCGUGAUGGUUCUUCCUCUAGUGGGACCAAAGUAGGUUCUGCUAAACCCUCCUUUGACCCUAAGGAAGCAGAGUGCUUCUAUUGCCAUGAGAAGGGCCACUAGAAAUGAAGUUGCCCUAAAUAUCUACAGGACAUUAAGGAUGGGAAGAUAAAGCCCAGCUUUGCAGGUAUGUAUUCUAUUAAAUCUAACAACUCAUCACUUGCUACUUCAUGGGUUCUUGAUACAGGAUGUGGUUUCCACAUUUGUUCUAUUUUGCGGGGACUAAGAAGAAGUAGGGAGGUGGAGCAUGGGAAAAUAAACUUGAUUAUGGGAAACAGAAGAUCGUCGCCUGUGACCAGAGUCGGAGUUUAUUUGUUAGUGUUGAGUAAUGGGUUAGGAUUAGAUUCAAAUAAUUGUUGCUAUUCGCCAGAUAUGGCAAAGAACAUCAUUUAUUUUCAUGGAUUAUAUAGACAUGGUUUCAGAUAUUCAUUUGAUAAUAGUAAUGGUUCUAUUAAUGUUUAUUUGAAUGGUGUUUUUUAUUUCAAUGCAUUUCCUUGUAAUGGAAUAUAUGAAUCUGUGUUGGUUGUAGACAAUUUAGGAAAUGAUGUGUUGAAUAUUGAUUCGUCUAAUAGUCUAGACAAAGCAUGCUUGUGGCAUUGUCGCCUUGGCCAUGUCAACAAGAAACGCAUAGCCCAACUCCAAAAGGAUAGAGUGUUGGAGUCAUUCGACCUUAGGGAUGAUAACGUGUGUGAAUCUUGUUUACUUGGGAAGAUGACCAAGUCACCCUUUACCGGCACUUAUGAAAGGGGUGAGGGACUAUUGGAUCUCAUACACACCGAUGUGUGUGGGCCCUUUAGAUCCACCAUAAGGGAUGCUUGCCGCUUUUACGUGACUUUUACGAAUGAUUAUAGCAGAUAUGGAUAUAUCUACUUAAUCAAGCAAAAGUCAGAAACCUUUGAAAAGUUCAAAGAGUUUAAGAAUGAAGUGGAGAAUCAGUUGGGUAGGAAAAUCAAGAUGCUUCCGUCAGACCGAGGAGGAGAGUACCUAAGUCUUGAGUUUCACGACUAUCUAAAGGAAUGCGGAAUCGUUUCACAAUUGACGCCUCUGAGAACGCCACAAUUGAAUGGUGUGGCUAAAAGAUGUAAUCGGACCUUGUUGGACAUGGUUCGUUCUAUGACGAGUCGGGCUUCGUUACCAAUAACUUUCUUGGGGUAUUCCUUAGAGACUGCCACCCAUAUCCUUAACCUAGUUCCCACCAAGAAGGUUGCCAAAACACCUCACGAGAUGUGGACAGGGAAAGCUCCCUCGUUGGCACAUAUCAAGGUUUGGGGUUGCGAGGCUUUCGUAAGAUGAGAGACUCACGACAAGCUUGAACCUCAUAGUGAGAAGUGUUAUUUAAUCGGCUAUCCACAUAAGUCUUUUGGCUAUCUCUUCUACAGACCGAGUGACAAUGUUGUCUUCGUUGCGAGAAGAGGGGUUUUCCGAGAAAGAGAACUCAUAAGCCAAGAGGACAGUGGGAGGAAAAUUGAUCUUGAAGAGAUUCAAGAGCAAAGCGAUGAAGGAACUUCUAACACUAGCACUCAACCAGAGGAGGAAACUCCUGUUGAGCCAAUUGACGAGUCUUUACCUCAUAGACGUUCUAGUAGGGUUAGUGUUCAACCCCAGUUUUAUGGUUUUCAUAUUACUAUUGAAGGGGAUACGUUUAUUAGUGAUGAAAAAUUAAUAAAUUUGGACGAACCUAACAGCUACAAGGAAGCCAUGGCAGGCCCGCAGUCUGCUAAAAGGNAGUCCAUGUACGACAACCAAGUUUGGAAUUUGGUUGACAAUGUGCCGGGUCGUAAGACAGUCGGGUGCAAGUGGAUCUUCAAGAAGAAGACAAACAUGGGUGGGAAUGUGCACACUUAUAAAGCACGAUUGGUUGCGAAGGGCUUUACUCAAACUACUGGAGUUGACUAUGAUGAGACCUUCUCACCAGUUGCGAAGAUAAAGUCUAUUAGGGUAAUGCUCGCAAUAGUUGCGUUUCAUGAUUAUGAAAUAUGCCAGAUGGACAUAAAAACCACUUUUCUUAAUGGAAAGUUGGCUAAGGAUGUUUACAUGAAUCAGAAUAUGCCAGAUGGACAUAAAAACCGCUUUUCUUAAUGGAAAGUUGGCUAAGGAUGUUUACAUGAAUCAGCCAGAGGGUUUUGUCGAUGCGAAGAAUCCAAAUAGAGUGUGUAAGCUUGAGAAAUUCAUUUAUGGAUUAAAGCAAGCGUCUCGCAGAUGGAAUAUUUGUUUUGACGAGAAAGUCAAAGAGUUUGGAUUUCUGCGAAGCGAAGAUGAAUCUUGUGUAUAUGUUAAAGCCAGUGGGAGUAUAGUGAGCUUCCUCGUAUUGUAUGUUGAUGGCAUACUACUCAUAGGAAACGACGUCCCAACCUUGUAGGAGGUCAAGUCCUGGCUUGGGAAGUAUUUCGCUAUAAAGGACCUCGGAGAGGCUGCAUAUAUUCUGGGAAUAAGGAUAGUAAGAAAUAGAAGUAAGAGACUGAUAGGACUCAGUCAGGAUAGACACUUGGAUAAGGUACUAAAGCGUUUUAGUAUGGAAAAUUCCAAGAAAGGGGAGUUGCCAAUCCAAAGCAAUGCCAAGUUGAAUAAGACUUAAUGCCCGAGUACAGAGGAAGAAAUAUCUGAUAUGAGUCGAGUACCUUACGCUUCCACAGUUGGCUCGAUCAUGUAUGCCAUGACUUGUACUCGCCUUGAUGUGGCGUUCGCUUUGAGCAUGGUCAGCAGAUAUCAGGGAAACCCUGGUAGAGCCCAUUAGACUGCAAUUAAGAAUAUUCUUAAGUACCUUCGGAGGAACAAUGAAUGGUUUCUAGUCCUCGGUAGGAGUUAUGACUUAAGGGUACGAGGGUACAGUGACGCUAGUUUUCAGACGGAUUGGGAUAAUUACCGGUCGCAGUCAGGCUGGGUCUUUACCCUUAACGAAGGAGAAGUAACUUGGAAAAGUUCCAAGUAGGAGAUUGUGGCUGAUUCAAUGUGUGAAACGGAGUACAUUGCAGCAAGUGAAGCAUCAAAAGAGGCAAUGUGGUUGAAGAACUUCAUUGGAGACCUUGGAGUUGUUCCAUCCAUAAAGGAGCUCGUAGAUAUUUUCUGUGAUAAUGAAGGAGUGGUUGCCUUAACCAAGGAACCAAGGGAUCACGGUAGAUCCAGGCAUAUCGACAGAAAAUACCAUUUUAUUAGACAGCGGGUAGAAGAGGGACUCCUCAUAGUGAAGAGGGUAUCGUCAGAAGAUAACCCAGCAGAUCCCCUUACAAAGGGACUGAGCAGGGUUAAGCACUUGCAGCACGCUAGGAGCAUUGGGCCGAAGGACGAUAUGAGUUUGGAUUAGAUAGAUAGGAAACGUGUAAUAGAUAAUUUGUACUUGACAUUUGAUAUAAAUAAAGGUGUUUAUUUAAAUAAUAAGGUUACUAUCUUGUGUUGGUUAUUUAUCUAUUGUUUCAGUUUUGCAUGUUUUGACUUCCUGAAUAAUAAGAUUAUUCAAACGAUCCACAGUCAUUCAUAUGUUGGAAGUAGAUAUGAAAGAAGACUGUCAUGAAUCUGUUUGUAGAUUGUCUAAAAGGUUUUAGACAUAGCAAUAGUUUGUUGCAAAGUUCAUGAGUUCUUAUGAAUGCUGAUUUGAGCAUUAGAAUAAACCUGCGAUUGCUGGUAUCACUUCGUGGUAUUUUACCUCGGGUGAUCGCAAAGCGAUAAUAUCUUAUAGUCUUAAAACUUAGAGAUAUGAUUAUUGUUUGUUGGUUGGUUGUCCAUUGAUGAAGUGUAAACGCAUUAGCAACUUGAUGUUAUAAAACACAUUGGUGUGCAUGAUUUAAUUAGUAAAUAGUAAAUGCAUAUGAGUCAAAGUUAAUAUGUUCCUUUUCUUCUAAGAGAAUAAAGGUGAUAUUUUGGCCACUCAAUGAUUUGGUUGGAAUUAUGUGUCGGGCCCGGUCAGAACAAAGUUGAUGUGUUCAACUGAGUUCUAUGUCGAACGAAUCAGAGAUCGAGAAACAAAGUGUUGAACAAUUAGUAUUGUAAGCAUGAUAUCUAGAACAGAGGAUUCUACGAUCCCUUAUCUAAAGGACAAGUUACUGAUCAGAGUUGACAGCGGCGUAUAAGAGCUACGAUUGCUAAUCGGAUCCUGAAGUCAUAUGUGAGAUAUAGUUACGAGACUUAUCCAAGUGGGAGACUGUUGGAAUGGUGUCUAAGCCCGUAACUAUAUUUGGUAUGUACUUGACCCGGUCGAGCAUGGUCCUUUUGGGUUGCCUUCACCAAAGCAACUUGACAAGGUAAUUUAAGGAAAGAGAGAGGAUAUUAUGGUUUAUUAAUAUAUUAUAAGAAUAAUAUAUUAAAGGAGAAAUCAUAUUUAUUUAAUUAGUAUUAGUCAUAAAUUAAUUAGGAAUUAAUUUAGUGACUAAAAGAGAUUAAUUAAAUAAAGGGGUGUAAACUGUCAAAUGCGUGAUAGUUGAGUUUUGGGCUUGGAAACCUAAUCGACUAAGGGGGAACGAAAUUAUGAUGAAGGAUCAUCAUAUUUUUGUCCAAGGCCCUAUUCCAGAAGGUUCCUUGGGCUGCUUGGUCAUUAAGCUGUCCAUUAGGGUUUAGACUGAAACCCUAGCAGCCUACAGUAUAAAUAAGACCCCUAGCCUUCAAUUUUCGGCCACUUGCUUCCCAAGAGAAACCCUAGGCCGAAAUUAAGCAUCCUCCCUCCUCUCUCAUAGUUUCCUUCUUGCUUGUGGUGUUUGUGAGCCAUUAGAAGAGUUACAAUUGUGACUCUAAGCUCCAAGAAAGAAGAUUCAAGCUUCCAUUGAAGAGGUAAACAUCUAGAUCUGAUGUUAUAUGUUAAUUUUGAAAUUUAUGUAUGCUAGAUUAGGGUUUGUAAGUUUUGGAUUCAUUACAUGUACAAUAGAGAAACCUAGAUCCAUGCAUUAGGGUUUGUAUGAGCACAUAGGAUUGUUCUUAUGCAUAAAUCCCAUCACUAAUGACACGUUAUCUGACCAUACUCAAGACUGACAUACGACAUUGUUGCUAACCAGCGUUGUGAUACAUUGUUGGAGUUACAGGAGGCCACUAGGUGGCAUGAGCUGGAGAUUGAGUUACAGUGAACAUAGGCAGGCCCCGAUGCAGUCACAGCGUGUGCCAAAACGGCCCAAGACCGCUGAUUCUAGGUCUGGGGGCCAGCACGGCCACACUUGUGGGAAGUGCAGGAAUGGUCAUUCGGGAGUUUAUAGAUCUGGGAGUGCAUACCGCAAAUGCGGAAAACAGGGGCACUUUGUGAUGGAUUACCGCCAGCCAGCCCCGGUUCAGGAUAUAAGGAUCUGCUAUAACUGCGAUCAGGUUGGUCAGGUGAAGACCAACUAUCCAUUACUCACUGCCAAGCCGGUGCAGGCUCCAUCGUCGGCUACACCAAGGAUUACUGAUGGGAGUCAGGGUAGAGUAGAGCAUCUGAAGGCUCGGGGAUGCGCCUUUCAACUUACAGUCGAGGAGGCCAGGACUACACCAGAUGUGGUUACUGGUACAUUUUUAGUGAACUCCUUACCUGCUUUGGUAUUAUUUGACUUGGGGGCGAGUCAGUCGUUUGUCUCUUGACCGUUCAGUAGGGAGUUCGGUUUGCAUGUAGGAGAGCUAGAGUGUCCAUUGCAAGUCUCUAUCGCCAACGAACACAGGAUUUCUGCUUCUUCGGUCUAUUGGGAUUGCGUUCUGGAGGUCUUCGAGGUAUCCUUCUCGAUAGAUUUGAUUCUGAUUCCCAUAGGGGAUGUGAGUGUGAUUGUGGGUAUUGACUAGUUGAGUAGCUUUGGUGCCAUUAUCGACUAUGAGGGUCAACGGGUGGUAGUUCGAACCCCAAGUGGGGGAGAACUCCUUAUAUACGGCGAGGGCACCAGAUUGUGUUCAGGGUUUUGCUUAGCUGUCAGGGCUCGACAGUAUAUUCAACACGGGGUGUGCGGGUUACUUGGCAUAUGUAGUGGAUACGCGAGUCAGGGACCAGGUUUCAGUGCCGGACGUUCUGGUUGUUAAAGAGUUCACGAAUGUGUUUUUGGAGGAGUUACCCGGAUUGCCUUCGGAGAGGCAGGUCGAGUUCAGGAUCGACCUAGUGCCAGGUGCGCCCCUAUCAACAAUGCGCCGUACCAUCUGGCACCACCCAAGAUGCAGAAUCUGUCAUCUCAGUUGCAGGAACUGCUGGGAAAGCAGUUCAUCCAUCCGAGCAGUUCUCCGUGGGUAGCACCGAUUACCUUUGUAGGAAGAAAGAUUGUUCACACCGGAUGUGCAUUGAUUAUAGGUAGUUGAACAAGUUAACGGUAAAGAACCGUUAUCUAAUCCCGAGGAUAGAUGACCUCUUUGAUCAGUUGCGGGGAGCAUCUUGCUUCUCUAAGAUAGACCUGAGGUCCGGAUACCAUCAGAUCGGGGUUAGGGAGGAGGAUGUGGAGAAGACCACGUUCCGGACUCGAUAUGGACAUUACGAGUUCGUGGUGAUGCCGUUUGCGCUCACCAACGUGCCGACAAUACUUAUAGACUUGAUGAAUCAGGUGUGCAGACUGAUGCUCGAUCGCUCGGUCAUUAUGUUUAUAGAUGACAUCUUGGUGUAUUCCAAGACCAGGGAGCAGCACGAAAAGCAUCUUUAUGAGCUAUUGUGAGCUUUGAGACAACAACGGCUGUAAGCCAAGUUCUCGAAGUGUGAGUUUUGCUUACGAGAGGUUCAGUUCCAUGGAAAUCUCGUUAACCAGGAGGGGAUUUCGGCUAACCCGGCUAAGAUCGUAGUGGUUAUGCAUUGGGAGGCUCCCAGAUCUCCCUCAUAUAUUAUGAGCUUCUUGGGAUUGGCAGGGUACUAUGGAAGAUUCAUACAUGAUAUCUCCAAGAUGGUAGUAUGUCAGAACUAGCAUUUUAGAGCUAGAAUUUUCUAUUCAUGUACAAGAUGGUUCCUUAUGUAAUUCUAUGACACUAUGUUAAACACGAACCAAACUUCAAUACUAGAUCAGUUAUACAUCCAUAAAUUUGUUUCAAGUCGAAACUUCCUCGUGAAAGCUCUAAACCUAAUUCAAUACGCUUCAUUCACUCAAUUUUGGGUUUUAACCCUAACUUCCUGGUUCAAACCUCCCAGUGGACUAGUACUCUCUUAUUGGGCGUAAUGGGCCGGUAAACCCUUAAUUUGGUUCUUUUGGGCCAAGAAUCCACAUUAAGGUCCUAGUUGGACCUAAAUACAUUAAACAAUAGUAUUUUGGGCCAUAAGACCCUUCGUGGUACUUAUUGGACCAAUAACCUCUGAAUUUGUUUCUAUGGGCCGAAAACCCAUUUAUUUAGCCUCAUUGGGCAAAGUCUUAAAUGGGCCAACCUUUAGGCCGAGAACGCUCUAAUGGGACUUAAUGGGCCGAAAACUCAUUCCUUUACCCUUUUGGACCGAAAACACGUAUUGGGCCUCCUUGGGCUGGAAAAAUCCUUGAUGGGUUAUUGUGUUCUCGGUUACACCCCAACCUUAAGCCCAAAAAAAUAUUAUUUGUUUCCUCCCUCUCUUAUUCUCGCUAUAUAUAUAUANNNNNNNNNNNNNNNNNNNNNNNNNNNNNNNNNNNNNNNNNNNNNNNNNNNNNNNNNNNNNNNNNNNNNNNNNNNNNNNNNNNNNNNNNNNNNNNNNNNNNNNNNNNNNNNNNNNNNNNNNNNNNNNNNNNNNNNNNNNNNNNNNNNNNNNNNNNNNNNNNNNNNNNNNNNNNNNNNNNNNNNNNNNNNNNNNNNNCUCACUAAUGCAUGGUGGUAACCCAUGAAAAUUAUACACUAUACUUCUAGGAUUAAUGUGCUAAACCUCCAUGUAAUGACCACAUUUAAUCUCUACCUUCUCCCCUCUGAAUCCGGCCAAGACCCCCAUCUCCCUCAUCCCUAACUUCAAAUUCAUUCAAGCUCUCUCACAUCUCCCUCUCAAUUUCAAGGAAAUUCCCUCAUUCCCCUUGCAAUUUUUGUGAGUUUGGUGUGUGUUUUCAAGAGGUUUUCAUCAAGUUUCAUCCUCUUGGUAAGUUCUUAUCAUACGCAUAUUAUUACUCUCCAUUUUAUGCUAAGAUUAUCCCUCAUAAACAUUUUAUUUUCGUGUUCAUGCACCUAGAACUUUCUAAGUUCGAAAGCUAUUCCCUAAGGAGCAUUCAAGGACGAAAAACUUCCUUCUUCUUUCUCUUCAAAACCGAUCAAACUCAAGGUGAGCUUCAUACCCCUUAUUUUUCGUGUUUUACUAUCUUUUGGGGGAGAGUACAAGCUAGUUUUGUGUAAAAUCUUGAUAUGUAUGCUUGUAUGUGUAUGUUUGGUAUAAUAUAUGUGUUAUUAUGUUGAGAUAUUAUGCUAAAAACUCCAAAAUUUUGAGAUUUACACAAGCCUUGAAGUUGUUGGAAUAACGUACAUGAUGUAGCUCCCUAUGUUUGCUUAAAGAGGCUAAGAAAGCUUGAAUAUUCAAAAUAAAACUAAAGAGAUCAUAAUAAGGGGCAAUAUUUGCCACUUUUCAUAAAAGUGGGUUUUUAUUGACAUUCACAGCUUUAGUGGGCCAAAAAUGACAUUUUUCAUAAAUAUGGGUUUUUAAUUGACAUCCACGGUUUAAGUGGGCCAAAAGUGUCAUUUUUCGUGGGGCUUUUAUUGACAUACACGGUAUAUUGGGCCUAAGGUGACAUAUUUGUUAAAAAUUGGCUUAAAAUGUCUUUCACGUAUUUAUUGGGCCUAAAGUGCCAUUUUUAAUAAAAUGGGCUUUUAAUUGAUAUUCACGGUGUUUAUGGGCCAAAAGUGUCAUUUUUGGUAAAAAUGGGCAUUUUAUGUCAUUCACAGUUUUAUUGGGCCAAAAGUGUCAUUUUUGGAUAAAAAUGGAAUUUUAAUGUCAUUCGCUGUUUUCAUGGGCCAAAAGAGUCAUUUUUCAUUAAAAUAGGCUUUUAUUUGAUAUUCUUGAUUUUAAUGGGCCAAAGGUGUCAUUUUUGGUAAAAAUGGGCAUAUAUGACAUUUUCAUUUAAAAUGGGCUGAAAAUGAACAAUUGUGCCCAAAACGACAUUUAUAUAUAAAAUGGGCCAAAAAUUUGAUUAAUUAGUAAAAUGGGCCACUUAUAACAAUUUGUACCAAAAAUUGGACCUUAUACGACCCUUUUAUCCAAAUUGGGCAUUAUAGUGUCAAUUUUGUGUUAAAUGGGCCUUAGCAUCAAUUUUAUAAGAAUCGGGCUUCUCGUGAACAUAUCGUCAACAAUCGACUAUUUUGAUAAGGACGAUGAAACAACGAACUAUCUGACACUCUCAAUAAAAAUGAUUGCAUUUUUACUAUUUAUGAGUUGUAGUUAACGAUAUACACUCGUAACAUUAUUUUUAACGCUACAAUCAUGAAACACACUAUUCGCGUACAAAUGUCGUUAAGGCUCUUGUGAGACGCACCUUCACCGUACCUACCUUAGUGUACACCGUAAGUCCUGUAGUUAUAACCAGAGUAUCCUAGAGGGAGAACAAGAAUUUGUGUAUAGAUCUAUACGGGGUUACACCCCACACCUAAGUUGCUCGCUACAGCUAGACAGGCCAGUCUAGGGUGUAACAACCCCAAACUUUGCUUCCUCGCCGUAACCGUUCCGUCAAAACUCGUCUUAAGCGAAUUGUUCCGAUUUCGUCCUGAAUUAGGUUAAUUAAGUCAAAACCUUUAUUUUGACUUGGUAAGUAUCCAAACAUGUGAAAACGUCCCGAACUAGUAAUUUGAAAAAUUAUAGUUUCGACCAUAUCGGGUAACGACAACUUAAUCGGGUGCGACCCAAAGCAUCAAUUAACGUCGGUAUCGGGUAAAAUUUCACCGUGUAUCCGAGUCAAACCAUAUUUAAAGUAGAUUAAGCCACAUUUGAAGCUUUUUCACUCUCUCUCUAACCUCUCUCCUAAAAUCCAUCUUGUUAAGCCAAAAUCAUCCAUUUCAAGCCUUAAAACACCAAGGUAAGCAUCCUAGCUCCUAGUAUAACAUCCUUAGGCUUCAUUUUCGUGUUUAAAUCAUGGGAUAAGACCAUAAACAUGUGUUUACGGCCCUGGAUCAGCCUUAGGCCGUGAACACAUGUAAUUGGGGUUUUUGAGCCAUAAAACCCUUCCAAAUCACCAUAGGAGCUUAGAUAUGGCCAAAGGAAUUAUUGGAAUGGACUUAAAACAUAUUGAAUGUAAAUUUUAUGGAUUAAACAUGAGUUUACUGCCCAAGAACAUACUUGGGCCGUAAACUCAUUUAAAUGGGUGGUAAACUCCUCUUUUGGGUGUUAAAAUGCAACUUACACACCCCUUAGGCUUUGGAAUAAAUUAUGGAACCAACCAAAAAUCAUUUAGGGGCUUUAAACAUAUCAUAACUCUCUAAGUGAGAGUUUACGGCCAGAGCAUAUGCUCCUGGGCCGUAAACUCCUAGAUAUAUGCCAUUUGAAGCCCUAAACUCACCCUAAGCCUUGUAAAAAUUAGUUGAAUCACUUGUGAUUAAUCCUUGGCCUUCAAAUUAAUUUAGUUGGAUGUGGGUGAGAGUUUACGGCCGUAAACUCUUAGUUUACUGCCAUAAACUCUUCUAUUAAUCCAUAUAAUGAUUUAAUCCCUUUCAAAUGUCCGAAAGCCAAACCUAGCAACGCCCAUUAUUUGAUUUAAGGCCAUUUAGCUCAUAAAAAACACCCACCAUGAGUUUAUGGCCGUAAACUCAUAGGGAUGUGGUGUUUAGGCCGUAAACACUCCCUAAGAGUUUACCAUUGGAGAGUAAACUCUAAAUCCUAGUCAUUCAUGUCCUGAAAAGCCACCCGUGUCACUUCAAACGCUCAUUUUGGAGUGUUUUCGCGUCUUAGAAUGUUCAAGUGUAUCUAAUUAGUUAUUUAAAUCUAAUUAGAUAUAUAUUGUGUAUUAUUUAAUAUUACAUAGGAACCUCGCUCGUAUUCAAGCCUCGGUUCGACGUUUAGCAUCCCAUUCGACACUUUCCGCGUCCGGUGAGUUCAUACCCCUACCCCUUUUCAAUGAUUUUUCAAUGUUUUCAGGGGGGAAUACAAGCAAGAGUACAAGAAUAUCUUGUACUUAAACUUAUGAUUUUAGUUAAAUGGUUUCAUACUUGUACAUUUUUAAGGAUUGAAAACCCUUUUAGUAAACUAUUUAAAUUUGCAGGGUUGUUUGUUUAAAACCGAUUUUCAAUUCUUCUUAUAUACUGUCAUAUUGUAUACUUCUCAGUUGAUUGUUCAUACUUAUAUUGAUAGAAAACGUAAAAUAUUGUAAAGUCUGUAAUAAAAUACCAUAGGUACGAGUAUAAAAGUCAGACGCCAUAAAGAACACAUAAAACUUCAUACACCUAGGCUCGAGUGUAAAAGGGAUCAAUAAUUUGAUAAUAUAAAUCACUGUGAUGUCCUUAAUAAUACACCUAGGAUCGAGUGUAAAGGACAGUAAUCAUUAGAUAACACCUAGACUCGAGUGUAAUGUCCUUAAUAAUGACACCUAGGCUCGAGUGUAAAGGACAGGUAUGUUAGAACUAAGAUAGUCAUAGAUACUACUUUCCUAGUCAAAGAGUAAAGAGUGAUCUUAAAGAUUGGAGACACGUCCUUGUAACACUUCCAUGGCUCGAGAUAGUGGAGGACUAACCCUGUAACCAGAAUCUCCGAUCGUAGGAGAGCGUGACUUGAGUGCAUAGAUUUAUACGGGACUGACAAUCCCGCACCUGGCUGCUAGCUAUAGCCGAACCGAAAGGUUCAAGGGUGAGAAAAGUCAUAAAAAGGAUACUGACCACGACCCGAGUCAUAUCUAGUCUGAGUAUGGUUAAGGACUCGCAAUCUAGAUUAUUAAUGCUUUAGAAUCAUUUUCUAGCUUUAUGUUCAUAGUAAAGCUAAUGUACAUUCAAGGAUGACAGGCACACACACAUACACACAUUCAGGAAAACAUGGGGUUUUCCUAGGGAGAACACUAAGCAUAACCAGAAUCGAUAAUGAUACACACACACAUUCAGGAAGACAUGGGGUUUUCCUAUGGAUAACAAUGAACAUAAUCAGAACUGGUAAUAGUUAGCACACUUAGAACUGGUAAUGGUUAGCACACUUAGAAUUGGUAAUAGUACACACACACGUUUCAGGAAAACAUGGGGUUUUCCUAUGGAUAAUAUUGAACAUAAUCGGAAUCAGUAACAGUUAGCUUAUACGGAAUCAGUAAUAAUUCACACUUUCACACAUAGGAAAAUAUAGGAUUUUCCUGAGUAACAGUAGUUUGUAACCAUAAAAGUGUAAUGAGUUAAAUAACUAUACUUUACAAAAUCAUUUGAAUAAUCAUGUUUUUAUUAUUCAUCGUUUACUUUACUUUCGGAUUUGGAAACUAUUUUUACAUAAGAAAAUAUGGGAUUUUCUUGGUUAACCAUUUUUUUUUCAGGAAACUAAAGGAACUCGUUCUUUUCAUAAAACAAACCGCUUAUGAACUCACCAGCUUUAUGCUGAUUUUCAAACCGCUUGUAUUCUCAGGUCCGCUUUGGACAGGUACCCGACGAUCUCUUUUGGUGAAGACGGAAUGCGUAGAAGAUUCGUCUCUCUUUUGUUUAAACUAUGUAUCUAUGAAACUUGUACUACUUUACUUUUCAACUGAUGUAAUGAAAUCUAUGUAAUGUAAUGUUUUGUGUUUUACUUCGCUUACUAUGUACAUUGGUUAUGAUUCACAUGAAGUCACCUCCGCCCCGAGACGUUUCCGCCUUUGGUUUCGGGGUGUGACAUAUUGGUAUCAGAGCCCUUGUUUAUAGUGAACUAAGUAUACCAAACUUUACAUGGUAUAAGACUAUAAACAUUAAGGGGCCUAAGUGCUCUGAACUAAAAGUAUAUCUCAAAUAUAAGUAUUUUCAAAAAGUAUACAAGUAUCCUAGCCGUCGAGAAUCGUAUCUAUAAGUAGAACAGAACAUAAGUAAAUGGGUGUUGUAGGCUGCAGUUAAACCUAGGCAGUUAUGUAGUCGUGUCUAGGAUUAAUAUAGCCUGAUCAACUAUAUUCAUUCGAGACAUAGCCAACAUGUGCUUGGGAGUGAAUGUGGAAUGCGGCAUACCUAAAACUUACCCAAAUACCACAAACAACGAAUCUUCGUUGCGGUAAAUCGUGAAAUACUAUGGGAGUAUUUCUGGAUCCAACCUUGUAGUAGAAUUUCCUCAUUCGAGCAUUGCCCCUCGAUCAUUCCGUUAGCGAUAAAUAUCUGUUUUGAUAACUCAUUCCUGNUUCGCUUAAUAGAAUUAUAUGUCUGUCAUAAAGAGAAAUCCUUUGUUUCAUAUCUCUUGAUUCAAUUUAGAGGACUUAUUAUCCUCUUUUUCCUAAUCCUUUAGAUCGAGAUGUCUUCAAGGAAAGAACCUAGCACGAAGAACAACGACCCUCCGUCUCCACCCUCAUCUCGCUUCGACCCUGUGAUGUUCCAGCUGGCUGUUUCUGCUGCAGUGACGGCUGCAAUGACGAUCUUGAACCCUAACAAGUCCAUUGGUCCAGGAUAUAACCCCUACCCCCAAAAUCAUGAAAAUGUUCAGGAGCAUCAGAAUGAGUUUGAUGAGAGUAAUAAGGUUAUCUGGAAGAAGCGAAAGGGUCAGAGUUCCCAAGGACCCUCCAAGAAGCCCAAAAAUGUGGCAGUCCAAGUUGCUACCAAUCCUGCCGCUGUUCCUAUAAUUCAAGCUACCACUACUCCUGUUAUUUCGUCUAAGGCUCAAGCACCUGUCACUGGGUAUGCUGGUAAUCUCCCUUGGUGCAGCAGUUGUAGUUAUCAUCAUUAUAUUCCUGGCCCAUGUCGCAAGAUGAUUUGCAAACGUUGUGGCAAGAAAGGUCAUCUUGCUAGAAGCUGCAGAACAGUAGUCCAACACCUCGAGCAAACUUCUAUCGAUCAGGUCUGCUAUAGUUGUGGAGAAAUUGGGCAUUUCAAGUGAAACUGCCCAAAAGCAAUAGCCCCCAAUAAUGUUAACAACGCCGAAAUGGCCCUAGCUUUGAAGCAAGAGGAGGCAGCCGCAAAUCCCACUAACGUAGCGGGUAUAUUUCUUUCCGACUAUCCUUAUGCUCGCAUCUUCUUCAAAUCUAGUGUCAAGAAAGUUCAAUUAGUCAUUCAUUCAAUUAUCUUGUUAAACAUAGUCCUCGUUUGACAAUCAAAAACAUUUACCGUCAAGAUAGUUGUCAGUGAGAAUGAGUGUAUAAACGACUUAUCUCAACGUUGUGUCCUUAUCUUGAGUAAUCAUUCAUUUCUCAUUAACCCGAUGUCAGUUUCAGUAAGAGCUUUGAUGUUAUCCUUAUUAUGUAUCGAUUGAGCCCCGACUGUGUUGAUACACCUCGUUAUAGAAAAACCGUUCGUCUCAAUCUUCUUUCUGAUCAGAACCUCAUAAUUCAUGGUGACGAGUUUAGCGCGAACCUUCGCUUCGUUCAAUGCGUCAAAACUCGAAAGUUCCUGCGAAAGAAGUGUCAAGUAUUCCUAGUCCGUAUGAUCAGCGACAAACAAGGAGUUGAAGACACCCAUAGUAAACUUAAUACGGCAUGGAAAACUUAGUCUGUGAUACAUUAGACCCUUUCAGAUCCCCUUUCGGAUUGAUUCCUUAGCCUUCAGUUCCGAAAUACCUUUAGUAAUUAGCAGCGUUCAUCCUGUACCUUGCACCUCUGUCCUUAAUGAAUACCUGCCUGAUAAAACCAUAUAAAUCCAUUCUAGUGUGACCAAGAACCAUGAUAUACCCAAACUCUCCGGACGAGCAAACUAAGAUCAUAGACCAAGUAAUCAAGCGUAUGAAACCGAGCCACGUCCUGUUAGUGAAGGUUCCAAGCGAGAACCUGAAUUCGCAUGGGAACGCGAAGACCCAAUACAACAGACACAUCCACACCCUUUGUCCAUAAUUUUGUAUCUAAAUUCUUGAAUUUCGGGACGAAAUUCCCUCUAACGGGGGGAUAAUGUAACAACCCGAAACUUUGCUUCCUCGCCGUAACCGUUCCGUCAAAACUCGUCUUAAGCGAAUUGUUCCGAUUUCGUCCUGAAUUAGGUUAAUUAAGUCAAAACCUUUAUUUUGACUUGGUAAGUAUCCAAACAUGUUGGAAACAUGUGAAAACGUCCCGAACUAGUAAUUUGAAAAACUAUAGUUUCGACCAUAUCGGGUAACAAAAACUUAAUCGGGUGCGACCCAAAGCAUCAAUUAACGUCGGUAUUGGGUAAAAUUUCACCGUGUAUCCGAGUCAAACCAUAUUUAAAGUAGAUUAAGCCACAUUUGAAGCUUUUUCACUCUCUCUCUAACCUCUCUCCUAAAAUCCAUCUUGUUAAGCCAAAAUCAUCCAUUUCAAGCCUUAAAACACCAAGGUAAGCAUCCUAGCUCCUAGUAUAACAUCCUUAGGCUUCAUUUUCGUGUUUAAAUCAUGGGAUAAGACCAUAAACAUGUGUUUACGGCCCUGGAUCAGCCUUAGGCCGUGAACACAUGUAAUUGGGGUUUUUGAGCCAUAAAACCCUUCCAAAUCACCAUAGGAGCUUAGAUAUGGCCAAAGGAAUAUUGGAAUGGACUUAAAACAUCUUGAAUCUAAAUUUUAUGGAGUAAACAUGAGUUUACUGCCCAAGAACAUACUUGGGCCGUAAACUCAUUUAAAUGGGUGGUAAACUCCUCUUUUGGGUGUUAAAAUGCAACUUACACACCCCUUAGGCUUUGGAAUAAAUUAUGGAACCAACCAAAAAUCAUUUAGGGGCCUUAAACAUAUCAUAAACUCUCUAAUUGAGAGUUUACGGCCAGAGCAUAUGCUCCAGGGCCGUAAACUCCUAGAUGGAUGCCAUUUGAAGCCCUAAACUCACCCUAAGCCUUGUAAAAAUUAGUUGAAUCACUUGUGAUUAAUCCUUGGCCUUCAAAUUAAUUUAGUUGGAUGUGGGUGAGAGUUUAUGGCCGUAAACUCUUAGUUUACUACCAUAAACUCUUCUAUUAAUCCAUAUAAUGAUUUAAUCCCUUUCAAAUGUCCAAAAGCCAAACCUAGCAACACCCAUUAUUUGAUUUAAGGCCAUUUAGCUCAUAAAAACACCCACCAUGAGUUUACGGCCGUAAACUCAUGGGGAUGUGGUGUUUAGGCCGUAAACACUCCCUAAGAGUUUACCAUUGGAGAGUAAACUCUAAAUCCUAGUCAUUCAUGUCCUGAAAAGCCACCCGGGUCACUUCAAACGCUCAUUUUGGAGUGUUUUCGCGUCUUAGAAUGUUCAAGUGUAUCUAAUUAGUUAUUUAAAUCUAAUUAGAUAUAUAUUGUGUAUUAUUUAAUAUUACAUAGGAACCUCGCUCGUAUUCAAGCCUCGGUUCGACGUUUAGCAUCCCAUCCGACACAACUUUGCGUCCGGUGAGUUCAUACCCCUACCCCUUUUCAAUGAUUUUUCAAUGUUUUCAGGGGGGAAUACAAGCAAGAGUACAAGAAUAUAUUGUACUUAAACUUAUGAUUUUAGUUAAAUGGUUUCAUACUUGUACAUUUUUAAGGAUUGAAAACCCUUUUAGUAAACUAUUUUAAUUUGCAGGGUUGUUUGUUUAAAACCGAUUUUCAAUUCUUCUUAUAUACUGUCAUAUUGUAUACUUCUCAGUUGAUUGUUCAUACUUAUAUUGAUAGAAAACGUAAAAUAUUGUAAAGUCUGUAAUAAAAUACCAUAGGUACGAGUAUAAAAGUCAGACGCCAUAAAGAACACAUAAAACUUCAUACACCUAGGCUUGAGUGUAAAAGGCAUCAAUCAUUUGAUAUUAUAAAUCACUGUAAUGUCCUUAAUAAUACACCUAGGAUCGAGUGUAAAGGACAGUAAUCAUUAGAUAGCACCUAGACUCGAGUGUAAUGUCCUUAAUAAUGACACCUAGGCUCGAGUGUAAAGGACAGGUAUGUUAGAACUAAGAUAGUCGUAGAUACUACUUUCCUAGUCGAAGAGUAAAGAGUGAUCUUAAAGAUUGGAGACAUGUCCUUGUAACACUUCCAUGGCUCGAGAUAGUGGAGGACUAACCCUGUAACCAGAAUCUCCGAUCGUAGGAGAGCGUGACUUGAGUGUAUAGAUCUAUACAGGACUAACAAUCCCGCACCUGGCUGCUACCUAUAGCCGAACCAAAAGGUUCAAGGGUGACAAAAGUCAUAAAAAGGAUACUGACCACGACCCGAGUCAUAUCUAGUCUGAGUAUGGUUAAGGACUCGCAAUCUAGAUUAUUAACGCUUUAGAAUCAUUUUCUAGCUUUAUGUUCGUAGUAAAGCUAAUGUACAUUCAAGGAUGACAGGCAGACACACAUACACACAUUCAGGAAAACAUGGGGUUUUCCUAGGGAGAACAUUGAGCAUAACCAGAAUCGAUAAUGAUACACACACACACAUUCAGGAAGACAUGGGGUUUUCCUAUGGAUAACAAUGAACAUAAUCAGAACUGGUAAUAGUUAGCACACUUAGAACUGGUAAUGGUUAGCACACUCAGAAUUGGUAAUAGCACACACACACAUUUCAGGAAAACAUGGGGUUUUCCUAUGGAUAAUAUUGAUGAUGCUACGAUUAGUGAUCUAUUAGAUUAAUUUGACUGUUUGUACAUGCUGUUGGAUUAGUGUCUAAGUCCAUAACUAUUUUGGUAUGUACUUGACCCGAUGGUGCAUGGUCCUUUUGGGUUGCCUUCACCAAAGCAACUUGAUUGGAGAAAUAAAUAGAGAGAGAGGAUAAUAUGAUUUAUUAAUUUGUUAUAAGAAUAAUAUAUUAAAGGAGAAAUCAUAUUUGUUUAAUUAAUAUUGGUCAAUAAUUAAUUAAGAAUUAAUUUUGUGAUCAAGUGUAAUUAAUUAAACUAGAGGGGCUGAAUUGUAAUUAUGUGAUAGUUACAAAAUAAGGUAAGGAUUAUCUUAUAAGUAUGGUGAACGAAUUUAAGGUUGGAAAGCCUUAGAAUUCCAGUAUGAUAAGGAUUCAAGGAUUAUCUUAUUGGUUGCUUAAUGGAUAAUCAACUAGAUAAGGAUAAUGACUGAAACCCUAUCUCUACACCUAUAUAAACACCCCUAGGGUUAUGAAUUCGUGUAUCCCUUCCCAAGAGGUCCCAAAUACGAAUUCUAACCUCCCUCCUCUCUCCUUAUACCUUCUCCACUUGCUUAUGGUGUUUGUAAGCCAUUAGAGGAGUGACACUUGUGACUCUCUGCUUUCCAAGGUCAAUUCAAGGAGGAAUUGGAUUGUUAUUGCUACAUAACAAUCAAGGUAUGUUCUUAAACCUAUUUACAUGUGAAUUCUGAUUUCCAUAUGCUAGAAUUAGGGUUUAUAGUCUUGGAUUCAAAGCAUGUACAAUAGAGAAACCUAGAUCCAAGCAUUAGGGUUUGUAUGAGCACAUAGGAUGUCUUAUGACCAAAACCCAUCAGUGGUAUCAGAGCCUAGCUUGGUUUCAAUUGUAUUGAUGCAUUGUAUAACUGGAAAAUUCGUUUUUUGGGUUUCUGGAGGCUGGACUCGCCGAGUCCAUGGCUGAACUCGCCGAGUCCAUGCAGACUCGACGAGUCCAAGCCUGACUCGACGAGUCAACUCGUCAGAUGGAGGGUAUUUCGCGAUUUCUUGCUGUUUUUGCUUAUGGAUAGUUACCUUAUCAUGUUAGAUCAAUAUUAAUCCGAUUUUAUGAUAUAUUUGACUAUAUUUUUGAUCUAAUUGAAGAUAUUUAUCAAUUAAUAAGAUAAUUGUUUCCUUAUGUGAUAAUUGAUUAAUUAUUUUGACUAAAUUGAUAAAUUGUUUUGCAAGAAAUCAUUAAAUAAAUCAAAUAUGGAUAAUUAUGUGAUUAAAUGUUAAUUUAGAUUAUUUGUUAUUUGAUCCUUGUUGUUAUGAAAAGUUUCAUAUUUUCCCCUUUAGGUUUUAUAGUUUAAAUUUGAACCCAAAAGUUUUGUUGUUUUGAAAUUUAAAUAGUUGAAACCCUAAUGUUUUGAAAAAGGUUUCAAAACUUGCCCUCAAGUUUUGGAAUUUAAAUUUUGAUUAAAUAGUUUAAUUUUGAUGUAUAUUUAAAUUCUAAACCCUAAUGUGUUGAAAUGUUUCAAAACUUGCCCUCAAGUUUUGGAAUUUAAAAGUUGAUUAAAAGUUUAAUUAGGAAUGUUAAAUUCUAAAACUCUAGUAUAGUUUUGAAAAAGUUCAAAUCACACCCUUAUGGUUUUAUUAAUUAAUUAAGGUGUAUAAUUAAAAGAGGUUUAAUAAAUCCAUAAAAGUUUAGGUUUACAAUUUAAUUGAAUUAAAAGUAUAAUUGUUAAAUUUGACCACCUAGUAUUUUAAAAGUGUAAAAUACACCCUAUACUAUAUAUAACAUUAAAAGUCUAACAUUAUAUAUAUGUAUGAGUAAAAGUCAGUCUUACCGUUAGUAGGCCUCAUUCACGAAGCUGGUCUAUAAGGGGUGUUUAAGGAAAUUGCCUAUAAAAUGGCGAUUGAAUGGGUAUCCACUCUUACCCACCGCACUCUUGACUAGUGGAGGGUCGUUAGCCGAACGGGUAGGAUAGGACGAAACCUUCCAUUAUAAGUAUAAUGAAGUAUAAAAGUAACUAAAUGUUUUCAUAAAAUUCCCAAUCUUAGUUACUUAGGCAAAAGUGAAUUGAUGCAAUUCCAUGAAAUUACACUUUGUGCCCUUGCGAAGACGUUAGUGGAGCGUGUGUGGUUUACCGGCACACUAAAUGGUUCUAAGCAAAGGUAGCAAAGGGUGACUCAAUGUUUGUCAUAGUUCGGUGGAGCGUGUGUGGUUUACCGGCACAUCGAAUAGGUGACUGUAACAUGUGAGGGCACCAUGUAAGUUUGCAUGGUUAUUCACACCCGCUUUGUGAUCCUCGGCAUCCCAGUCACAAACAAGAGGGGCAUAUCGAGAUUUAAACAUGCCAUUGAAAGUUCAAUGAAUCUCAAAGGAUCUAGGAGUUUUCAUAGAUUUAAAACUUAAAUUUCUUUUUCGUUUUUCAUGGUGGAAAUUAGUGAAUCGUCAUUCACUUACCUUCAAAUGUUCUGCAAUUAGGGUUACGGCAUCCCUCUCCCGAGUUGUAGAAUAUUGUGUUGGGUCCUAGCCUUGGAAUUUCAUUUGGGUGAUUUACCAAGGACUCAAUCAAUCAACUAACUUGAAUUCGUUUUCUCCCGUUUUGUAGAUGUCAAAGUUCGACAACUAUGGUAUUCCCAAAUCCCGUGGAACAAGCAUUCCACAUGAAGAUGAUAUUCCACGAUUCGAUCGAGGAUCAAGAAAUCAUGCUUCACUUCCUCCUCCUCCUCCAAUUAUUCUCCCUAACCCACAAGAUUGUAAAAUUGAAAGGUUCAAUAUCACUCAAGCCCUUUUGGCAAGUAAACAUAAAGAAGGAAAGUCGGUGUGUGCACACGUCCUAGGGAUGAAGUCACGCAUUGAUAGACUAAGAAUUUUGGGAUCCGUUGUCUGUGAGGAAAUAGCUGUUGAUUGGGUUCUUCAGUCACUUCCCAACUCAUAUAGUGAGUUCGUAAGAGAGUACUAUAUGACGAACCACAACGUGACCCUUAUAGAUCUCACCUAUAUGCUUAUUGUUGCCGAAUCAGCAAUGGUUUGGCGCAAUAGAAAAGCAAAGUUGAUUGGUGAAUCUGCCUUCAAGACCUCUAUGGAUAUAGACAAUGGCAAUGAAAGACAUGCAAUGACCGAAAAGUUUGAUCAUAACCGAAUAAGGAACAUGUAAGAAAGCUUAGAUCAAGAGUCCUCGGUUAGUCGUACAUGACUAUAUACAGUUGCUAAGGCGUCCCUCUACUAGCAGAUAACCAAAGCUAGUGGGCCGACAUUGGUCCCUUCAACCCAUGGGUAUAGUGAGGCGCAACUCACCUCGAUGUGCGCGUAGAUAACCACUAUAUCAAUGAAGGGCUCUACCAACUUCAACUCACUUCUAAUCACCUACAGGAAGAUACUUGAGUCAAUACCCGAUAACAACUCAUAGUCACUUGCAACAGUAACCACCACACAUGAAAUGACGAUUAGGGUUUCACAUAAAAUGACGAUUAUGAUUAAGUAAGAACACCUAACCCAUUAAGGACUUAAUCACUUAGGGGUAUGAUUGAUUAAGGUUUGACUUAGUCAUUCUCGGGCGAAUAAUAAUCCAAUCAACAACCCGAAUACGUGCCCGGUCAUUGUCCAAAUAGAGCUCCCUAAUUCUAAGGGUUUUCACAUAAAAUUACAACUAGGGUUAGUAUUCCAUACUUAACCCCUUAAGGACUUAACACAUUAAGCCUAAUAUUGCAUUAAGUUAAUUGUAGGGGCAUUAUUAAGUAUUAAUUAGAAUUCAAUUAACAACUUUAAUGCGGGUCCCGACCAACUCCAAAAACUAGGGUUUCUUGACACUAGGGUUUUCUAAACCCUAAUUAGGGUUUCUAACCCGAAUACGUACCAACUAGGUUCCAGGUUAGGCUUUUAGGUUAAUUAGUGUUUAAUAAGUUGGGCACCACCCCGGGCGGUGAUACUCAACGGUGGUUCAUGGCGGUAGCCACCACCUCAUAGUGGUGGUGGUUAUGAUUUUAGGCAAAAACAAUGACAAAAGCAUUCCAAACAUCAGUCCAAUAACAUACAUAAACACACAGCCACAAGAGAUGGUGGCUAGUAGCGGCAGAACGGUGGCAGCCACCACCUCACGGUGGUGAUGGGGGGUUUUCCUUGAUUUUUCGGCCAAAGAUUUCUCAUACAACAUCACGCCAUAAUACACACAUAUUUACACCAUAAAACACACACACGCAUCCAACUUCCACGGUGGCUGUGUUGGAUUAAUGUCUAAGUCCAUAACUAUAAUUGGUAAGACUUGACCCGACCCGGCAUGGUCCAUUUAGGUUGCAUGGUAUCAUGCACUUGGAUAGACUAAAAUGAGAGAAAUAAGACACUUAUGGUUAUUAAUAUAUUAUAAGUUCUAGUAUAUUAAUAAUAAGAAUAAUAAGAUUAUUUAAUUAGUAUUGAUCAAGAAUUAAUCUAGGAUUAAUUAAGUGAUCAAAAGAAGACUAAUUAAAUAUAUGGGUUGAUUGUGCAAAUCAUCCAUAACUUAUAUAGUGGGCCAAAGCUCCAUGGAUAAUCAAGUUGGGUUAAACCCAUAGGAUGCUCCAUGGAGGUUACAUAGGCCAUGGGUCAUGGAAAUGAAAGGUCAUGACAAUUAGGGUUUACAUGGUGUAACCCUAAUUGUAACACAAUAGAUAAGCAUCAUAUUAUUCACCAAAAUCGGCCACUAGAGUGUAAUAGAAGGGCUAGACGAUUUUCAUGAAGUGUAGAAUUCUCUCAAGUUAUUCCAAGUGUAUUUGGUGUUGUGUGAACCAUUUAAGGUGCAACAAAUCGUUAUUUCAAACUUAUGUAAUAAUGUAGGUCAAAUUAUACUUCUUUUUAAUUAAAUAAAGAGAAAUUUUGGCAUACUAUGUAUAUUUACAUAGAUGACCCUCAAAAUAAAUUAUUAAAUAAUCUCAAUUAGGUUAAACCAAGUGAUAGAGAUUGUAACAAGGUUUCCAAAAAUAUAAAGAACACUAAAAUCCGAGUUAUAACGAAGAAGUUAUGACCAAUCGAAAAUCCGCGACAAAACCGGCAAAACACUGUUCAGUGUAAAAACUGAAUUUUUGAUAAAAGGUUUUCUAGCCUUAACAAUCUAAAUGAAAGUUAUAGUUUUUGUUAAACCGAGAACUUUCAUAAAAAGAACGCCAAAAUCUGACUUCGUAUGAGGAAGUUAUGAUUUUUCGAAGUUUCAGUAUAGUAGUGUACAACUAAAAACUCGAAAUAAAGAUCGAGUGGUUUUUAGCCGACACAACCUAAACGAGAAUUGAAGGUAUCGUCAUUAGUAGUACAACGAUAAAAAGACAGACAAAAACGGACGUCGUAUGAAAAAGUUAUGAAUUUAUAACGGAUUCACGUCCCGAUCUGUUUAAAAUAAUAAUAUAAAAAAAUAAAUUCAAAAUUUGCCGACAAAGUCUAAAAGAAAGUUGUAGAGUAUAAUUUUAGCUACGUGUGUAUAUAAAGAACGUCAAAAACGGAGUUCGUAUGCAAAAGUUAUGAAUUUUACAAGUUUUGGCAAAAAAAUAAAGAAAAAUAGAAAUACCCGGGAAAAUUCGCAUGAACAGUAGCGCCACCUCACCCCUCGCAUGCGAGCCUCCACGUGUCGGCUGCUGAGUGGACCGAAGUCUCGCGUGUCACCUCCUGAUUCGGCCACCUCUGCGGUCCAAUCCCACUCGGACAGCCUCGCAAGGAGACACACCGGGGAUGCUCCUCGCACACGCCUCGCACCACCCUCGGACACCCCUUCGCACGUGGCUUCUUUGCAUUGGACCGAGGGCUAGACCAAUCCGAGCCUACCACCUCCGAACCGAAGCUGCUUCCCUUCGCAGAAUGUCAGCCUCGCAUAGCCUCGCACAAGCUUCGGAUCCGAGGCUUCGGCCUAUAUAAGGCAUGCGAGGGUUUCCGGAUUUUUUACACUUUUCACCCCAAAUUUUACUCUCUUUCACUUUUUCCACACCCUUAAGCUUAUAUACAACCCUUAAAUCCCCGGUAUCAAGACUCGAGCCCGAAGUAAGCCGUGAAGCCCCGAAAUUCUCGAGAAUUCAUCCUCUCUCCUGUCAAAACUCUGCCCGAUUUGAGCCGGUUUCUCGACAAAUAAACUCCUUUUCGUGAAACGAAACCCUGUCCGAAUUACCACCUACCAAGUGAGUUCAUACCCCCGUAUUUUCAUAAUUUCUACUGUUUUAAGGGGGGAAAUACAAGUAUAACACAACAACUUUGUGUUAUAAAUAAAUGAUUUCAAAUCACGAUAAAAUGAUUUUAAAGCAUCAAAAAUACUUCAAAUUUUGAACUCUUUUAUAAACUUAUAUUUUUCCCAAAUAUACAUAUUUGUAUAUAUAAUUUAAUAUAAAUAAGAUUUAAAAGGCUUAGGACUAAUAAUUCAUGCUAGGUCCUUUUCCUUGUUUGGAUGUGGACUUAUAGUACCAGUUAUUUGUCCGAAGGUCGUUCAAAUUUUACUUAUUUAUAAAAUUGUAUAUGUAUAUAAAAUUAAAAGUUAUUUCAUCAGUUUAAUCACCCUUUGUAACAUGUUGAGCAAAGGAUUACAUGCAAAAAUAGUUAUUUACCAAUUCAUAAAGUACAUAUAAAUUAUAAUAGGUAUAGUUUAUGAUACAUAGAGCAAUAAUUCAUAUGAAUACAUUGUUUUACAUGCAACAAGGGUUUUAACUCAAAACAAAUCAAGGGUUUACACUUAUCAAAUACAUGUUCGGGAUACUAAGUCAAGAACAUAAUGUCAAUCAUUUAUCUCAGAAUGAUUGGGUUUUCAUAACUAAUAUACAUGUAACGUUUAUAUGCUUUUUAUGAGACAUUCAAUUCAGGUUGUUUAGAUUCAGUCUAGACAACCAAGGUAAAGCCCUGACAUUAUAACCAGAAUCUCCAGUCCGGGGAUCGAAACAAGUUGUGUGUAGAUCUAUAUCGGGAUUGACAACCCCGCACUCAGGCUGCUAGCUACAGUCAGGCAUACAUGCCAAUGAGUGGCAAUUGUUAUCAACAGUUUAAGCGCUCAUCAGGCGUUUGUUUCAGGCGUUCAUGUCUUAGUAUGGUUAUAAUAACUCAUUAAAAAGAUAUUAACAACACGUUAGUGUAUAAACAACUAAACGUAAGUAUAUCUUCAAAGUACCAGUUUACAAAAUGCAAAGUACAAUGCUAUACUAUAGUUUUCAAUAACAGCUGGUGAAGCCAGGCACACUCUCAAAUACAAGUUUUACAAAUACAAUGGUUUACAAAUAAGACGGUUUUAUAGGAAUAAAACUACUUUUCACAUACCACAGAAAAUAUGGGAUUUUCUAGAAGUGUUUUCAUAUUCAAAAUACAAAUACACCCAUUCAAAACAUAAAGACUUAUGUACUCACUCAACUUAUUGUUGAUACUCUCUUUUCAAAUUACUUGUAUUAUCAGGGAAAUAAUAACAGGUACUCCCCGAGCUUUUUGAGAAGAUGAAGCCAUUAGGAGUCUUAUCUUCUUCCUUUGUAUAACUGUUUUGGUUUCAAUAUACAAUGAUUGAACACAUGUAAAUAUUACACUUUUAAAUACAAUGGUUGUUUGUACUUUGAUUACUAUGAUGCAUGUGUUGUGAUACUACAAAUGAAAUCCUCCACCCCCGGACGUUUCCGCCGUCUGGUUUGGGGGUGUGACAGAUUGGUAUCAGAGCAUUGUUUAUAGUGAACUCAGUAUAUCAAUCCAUAAAAGAUAUACAAACUAUAAAUACAUUGGGGCUAAGAGCUCUGACUACAAGUAUACUUUUAAGAAUUUUAAGUAUUUUUACAAGAAGUAUACUAACCCUCAUCCCUACAAGUACAUAGUCAUAAGAACUUAAAAGUAUUUGGAUGUUGAACAUUAUAGUUAAACCCGGGCAGUUAUGUAAUCAUGUCUAGAAUUAAUAUAGCCUGAUCAACUAUAUUGAUUUCAGACAUGACCAACAUGUGUUUAGGAGUGAUAGUAGUGUUGUGACAUGUCUAAAACUUACCAACUACAAAAGAAACUCUAAGAACAGAACAUAAAAUACUAUAAGAAUAUUAUAAACAUCGAUAUGCUUUAGUUUUCUUUUCAAGAAUUUCUCAUAACCCUAUUCUCGUACAGACACAAUGGCAGGACAUCAUCCACCAGGGGACCCUUAUUUUCCAAAUCAUGGCAAUCAGGAAUGGAUAGUGGAAGAUCCAGAAGAAGACUCAGAUGAAGAACCAUUUGAGGACAGCGAGUCAAGCGGUACCGAUACAGAGCCACAAGUCUGCAACCCGGGGAUACGUCCCCCGAGACAAGAGGAAGCAAUACCUAUACCCGAGUGGGGCCAAUACAUAAACCAUUGGAGUCGACAAGACGGCCAACGCCCUCCCUACGGAAUGCAACAGGGUUUCUAUAACGUCUCAGAAGGAGGAGCAGCCGAUAGAGCUCUUCCAGUUAUAGUGAAUCGAAUUGCCCAACAAUUCGAUCAAUCAAGUAUGUCAAUCAAUCGUAUCCUAGAAGUGAAUGCGGCUGCACAGGCUNNNNNNNNNNNNNNNNNNNNNNNNNNNNNNNNNNNNNNNNNNNNNNNNNNNNNNNNNNNNNNNNNNNNNNNNNNNNNNNNNNNNNNNNNNNNNNNNNNNNGCCUUGUGCUACCAAGGUGACAAGAAACUAAAAUUGAACAAGUUUUCAUGUAAGGCUGAAUUUGUCACUAAUCUUAUCUUUUGAUUAUGGUUUUGACAAACUCACAUGGAUAGGAACUCAUACAUUAUAAAAUCUAAGUGUCAUAAGGUUUCUCUCCGAUUCAUGAAAAUGAUGGUGAGGAAACGCUUUCACUAAGUAGAUUUUAUGUAGAUAUCAAUUGUGUUAUUUGCAUUUUCAAAAGUCGUUAGUGGAGCGCGUGUGGUUAACCGGCACACUAACAUGGACUUGUGAGAAAUGGCAAAUGCCUAAGCNNNNNNNNNNNNNNAUCCCUUUUCAUAGUUCUGAAAAUUGUUUAGACACACAUGUGAGCUAUCUAAGAAAGGGUGUAUGAAUCUAAAUUUCAG